UUUUUUUUUUUUUUUGUAGGGAAUCGUUGGGACUUUGAUGGUUAAAGUUGAGGAGUUGAGGAUUAUGACACUAUAGGACCAUAUCCGCUAUCACCACCACCACAAUAGACUUGUAUUAGGAUUUUAUUAUUGUAAUUUGUUAAUUUAUAUGUACAUAUUUAAUAAAAUGUAUAUUGUGGAUAAUUUGAUCACUAUUUUUCGUAUUUAUUUUAUUUUGAAUAUGUCAAUUUAAAUUAAAGUAACAAAAAAAAAUAAAGCCAUACAAUUAAAUUAAAUUAAAAAUUAAAAAAAUCUUGCACUAACAAAAGGUCAAUUUAAUUAAAUAAAAAAUAAAAACAAAAAACUUUUGUGGCUCAAAAUCUUGCGCUACCAAAUAUUUUGUUGCGCAAAAUAUUAAAUUAAUUUAAUUAAAUUAAAAAAUCAAAAAUAACAAAUUUUGCGUGACAAACCAUGCUUUCGUCGCGCAAAGUUUUGAGUGAUGAAAUCUUACUUCGCGCAACAAAUCUUAUUUUGUUGCACAAAGUGUUUUUUGUAACUGUGGGUACAGCUUCAAGUUGGCUGCAAAAGCAUAGAAAUCGCCUUUUGGAUCGAUGGAAUCUUUUAUUGAAAAGGGAAAGAGUGGAAAAUGGAACUGUAGUUUUAAAUUGGCGAUUUACGGGAAGGAUAUUUUUAUGGAAUGAACUAUGUGGAAGAUAUAUGCAUGGAAGGUUCUAAUUGAGUGAAUGAUACAUGGUCUCAGCAAACUUUUCACUUUGGACUGCUCUCUUUUGUGCAUCUGUUGUGUGGAUUUAUUUGCUUUGAAGGUACUCAAAGUAGAAUAAAAAUUGGAACAAUCACUGAACAAAUUUAAUCGGCUAGGAAUGAGCUAACAAUAUAUAUAUCAAACACGCGUAAGCAUGCGCGUCACAUAUAACUCCAUCCUGCAAUUAUAGGAGGGGAGAAAUCAGGAGUCGCAGAGAAUAACCAAUGCGAGCAUAUGUGAGCACCACCAAUCAGCAAUGCCGACCAUUUUGGGUGCACCAAGGAAUUGUUAUCAAGUCGUUGGAAGAUCAAGAUAUUCAAGAUCACGUAAUAGCUAGCUAGAUAGGGUUGUGUAGAGUAUAACGACGUGGCUGGGUUUGAAGCAGCAAAUAAUUAACAUGGUAUUUUCGUUCUUGUACGGUGAUUCUUGAUGUCAGAAGAAUCAUAAGGAACAGACCAAGAUAUUGUGGGCGCAAGGAUUCGAUUGUGUCCUCACACUCAUUUUCCUCGUCAACUUGUCGUUCUUCUCAAAGUGCAUAUUGCAAGUCUUGGCUCCACGUUGGUUUUGCCUGCAGUAGAAUAAAUUUUAACAGCUGUGAGUUUAUGCCAAAGCCGACCCACAAGCAAGCCGAACAAGACAUGUGCUUUGGGCAUGACAAGGAACUAAGUUUCGUAUUUUCUUUUCAUACCCGUAUUUUACGAGACUGGCUAUAAUGCUUACUUGUAUAUGAUACAAUCAAAUAUUUGACAGUGAGAUAUAAGUCAUGUGAUAUUUAUAUAAUACAAUCAUCAUCUAACCGUCAAAAUAAUGAUUGUAUUGAGUACAUGUAAGUAUUGUAGUUAAAUUCCAACAUUCUUUGUUUAGUUAAUUCAAACUGUUUAAUCUGACCAUCGAGAUGACUUUCUCACCUCCACAAAUAAAUUGUAAUGAUUUUUUUUUUUUAUCUAAGAUAGAAAUUGUUGUUUGCUACACAUCUAUCAGAGGUGGGCGUACCCUACUAACCCGAGAGCUUGAGGCAUGCAUAAUGUGAACUUGGCAUGAGGUGGUGAUAUGAAUUAUUCUUCCACUUGACUUAAUUCUUCAUACAACCAAUCACUUUUAAUGCCUUCUUAGUUAUAAGACCACGCUACAAGACUCGGCGACAAAUUAGUUAAUAUUAUGUUCUUUAAAUAAUUAUUAUCUCAUGGGACAAAGAAUCAAUAGGGAAACAUCAUUUACAUGAUUAUGUCUUAAGAAAGCUAGGUAGGCAAGCAUUGGUCGAAUUAGAAUGUGGAUUAUUGAUGCAAAUUUCCGCCAUCUUCAGUCUUGACGAAAAUGCACCUGCAAAACAAUUAACAUCUUUAAUCAAGGACCUAAGCCUCACACACCCACGAGGUGGGGGGGGGGGGUUAGGCCAAUGGAUCUCUGAUGCCUAAGUUAGUUUCUCUAUGAGAAUAAAGUGUUUAGGGCCUUUUAAGGGUAGCAAAAGCUUCUGAAAUUUGGUAGAAUAUAGGGUAUUUAUAGGGAUAGAGCCAGCCAUAGUCUUAGGGUUUAUGGAGAAAUAUUAUCAAGAUAUUAAAUAGGAAAUAAUAUCUUGAGAUAAUUGAGUAAUUAUCCCUAAUUGAUUUAAAUUGAGAUUAUUUACUUGAUUGGAGUCAAUCUUCAAUUAGGAAUGUAUUAAAUAUAGAAUUUGGGUAAUUAAUCCUUAUCUUUAAUGCUUUGACUUUUCCUUGCCAAGGGCAGGUGAGCUGGGGGCAAUCGUAUUCAGUUGCUGGGACCUUCAGGGGUGUGAGCUGUGCAUGGGAGCAUCUAAGAAGUCUGCACAUUUGUUGAAGGCAAUCUUGUCUUUCUUGGGAAAAAGCCCAUGUGUCGCCUCUACAAUUAAUGAGAUUAUUUUAGGCUCCACAAAUGCCCCACACCUACUGGGCGGCACGUAGAAAAAUGGCAGUAGGUGUAGAAAUCCCAAGCUAUGUAGGCUUGUAUAGUUGUUUCCCAAUUUGAAUUUGAUAUUCUUUCUUGAUUUGGAGAUAAACUUCUUCUAGGAAAAGGAAACCAAUUGCCCCCAAUACCUAUUUAAUUCUGCCUUAAGCAGGGGAUUAAAUAAAUUUGGAGAACAAUCAUCAUUCCAACAAGGAAGAGAAGCCAAAGGAAAUUUUUCUUCCCCCUCCCCUAACUUUCUUCUUCUCUUGCCCUUGCAAGGAAUCGUCUCUUGUUGUAGUUCUUCUUUUCCGUGCCGCACCAAGGUAAGAAAAAUUUGAAUUUUCUUCUUCUUGAUUUCUUUGGAGUCUUGGGACUUGAAAAUUGGCUCGGUAAUGGUCGAUGAGGUGUUAAACAUACAACAAGGAUGCCAUAGGGCUGCUGGUGGUGCGGCAAGGGAGUCAGCUGGUGUGGGCCAGGGGUUUGGCUUAACUUGGGCCAAGAAGAGAGGUGAGUUGGGGCGUGGAGAGGCCAACUUGGGCUGAACCUUCAAAGUUGGUGAGGGAGAGAAAGAGACCGGUGCGGGCUGGGUCUUUUGCUGGCGUGUCAGGCUAUGUGGCCUUGGGCCCUUUGUGGUCCUGUGGUCUUUGGGCAAUACUGUGGAACGCUGGGCGCGAGAGAGAGGGAUAACAUGGUCUGGGCCGUAGAACCUGGCUUGCUGUUGGGUUCCUGUAGCUUGAGCCUGUGCGGAGAAAGAGUGUGAGGGCCAUGGGGCAUAGCCAGGGGCGUUGGGCUCGCAGUUCUUUUUAUUUUGUUUUAUUUAUAUAUUUUUUUUGCUUCUUUCGCGAGCUGUCUUCCUCCAAUCGCAAAAGUGAUGAAUAUCCUCCAAUUUUGUAUUGUCAAGGUGGUUUUUCUGGCAAGGUGGGCUAUUUCAAGGCUGCGCAUGUCAAGAUCAAUUUUGAGGAGUUGUUUCGGGAUUAUUUUCUUGAGCCUUACGAGCAUGCAAUUCCGUCAGGGGUUUGCGACAAGCGGGUGAAGGAUGAUAGCGGCCAUAAACCAUGCAGUGAGGGCACCACUACUAGGAAGAAGGCUAUCAAAUUCCAUUCGUAUUACUUCGUGUUGGGAUUCAAUUUUCCCAUGUCGCGUCUUUUCCAAGAGGUGAUAUGCUCCAUGAAAUGCACGCCUGCUCAGUGCUCCCCCAAUGCAAUUCGUGCGAUAGUGGGAUUCCUCAAUCUGAGCAAAUUCUUUAAUCUUGGCUUAGCCAUAAAUGAGUUCUGGUACUUUUUUGAAAUCGACCACAAGGAAGGUGUAGGGCAUCUGAGAUCUCACCAUAAGCCGCUCGAUGCUCCCUGCAAAGGUGAUUAUGAAUGGGCAAGAGACACCUUAGAGGUAAGUGGAGAUUAGAAGUUUGACUCCUCUCCUGAGCUGCGCGUUCCAACUGUCUUUAUUAGUGGUAAGUGAACUGCUUCAUUCUUGUCCUACUUGAAUUUUUGUUAAGCUGCUCCAUGACUUCAAUUUACUGAUCGUCAUUCUUACUUCCAGUAGAUUCAGAAUUUGGCUCAACUCCAAAAACUUUGGCCGAUAUGAAGAAAGUGCACAUCGCCUUGGGCAUUUCUGCUGAAUACCUUGAGUGGCGCUGAUUGCUCAGUCCUCUUCGUUGGGAGAAAGGCGGGCUGCCUCCGAAUGAAGAGAUAAAACGGAUAAAGGAUAAGGCGCUUGCUCAUCUAAUCGCUGUUGUAGAGCCUACUGCUAAUGAGGGUGGAAAGAAGAGAUCUUAUUCACCUGCCAGUAGGCUUUCGAUUGAGAAAAAGCCAAAGACUUCUUCUGCUGCUCGUGAAGGCUCGUUAGCUACUAAAAAGCUUGUGAUUGAUUUGACUUCUCCAAAGGGGACAAAAAAGUCCAUUCAGCCUGAGCCUGUGAAAUCUGCUGUUUCGAAGGUGGCCACGUCCACUGCUGAAAAGAUUGCCUAGCGAAAAGGUUCAGUGGUGCCCCCAAUGUCCGAGUUUGUGUCGAAUAGCCCUUCAGGAGCUAAGUCCCGUUCAGCUUAUGAGAGGCUCACUGCUAUGAAGAACAUGAAGGUGGAUUCUAUUACUAAGGUAGCACUGGGCAUGUUCCUCCUUCUGCUACGACUUACUCGUCUGCUGAGAAAGGGAAAUUUGCUCACAUGGGUAGUUGUGAGAGAUCCACCGAGUCUGAGGCUAGUGAGUUUCCCGAGGUUUAUGUGCUGCUGAAGGUUGACUUGCUUGAGGAUGUCAAUGUAUGCGCCAAGUUCAUUGACAGUGUCGUGAAAGUUGUCAUCCGAUCAAACUCUUUUGCGAAACAUCCUGCCUAUUUGAGGAGGUCCUUCCUGAUUGCCACAAUGCAUAAGACUUUGAUCCUAGCAGUUGAGUCUAUGCACAUUGAUCAAGAUGUUGUCAAGUGUGUUAUGGAAGCCGAAGUGGCAUUAAUGGCUUAGCUUCGCUCAGUUGCUAAAAAGAUUGAGAAGCUCAAAUCAGAACUAGUCAUUUUGAAAGGGUCUAAUGUCUCUACCCUCAUUUCUAUACAACUGGAGACCGCUCAUCAGGAGGUCGCGUAUUUAAAGGCUAAGCUUAGUGCGACUCAGUCAAUGAUGGAAGCUGCAGAGAAGGAAGUCAGUCGUGUUUCUCUAGUGGUCAAGGACCUUGAGCGUGUCAAUUCGGAGCUACAAUCUGCUUAUUUUGCCAAUGACGAGGAGUUUGUCUUCAUGCAUGCUACAGUGUCUCGUCUUAAGAAGCUUGUUUUCAUGCAUGCUGUCUGCUAGCGAAACCUAAGAAAUGAACUAGAUGAGCUACAGGGUGCUCACACUAGGCUUGUUGAGGAAAAUGUAUAGCUGAAGAAUGAGAAAGCUAAUCACAAAGUGGCGCUUGCUUCUUGUCAGGCUGAUUUCUACAAGCUUGGCUAUGUAGACCAUCUUCAGGGUAGGCCAUUAGAUUAUGAGUUUUCCAAGAAGGACUUCGAGACUUUCUCUAUUUCUCUAGUUGAUCUACUUGAUUUCUCGUUUGAGGCUGCCUUUGGUGAAGCAGCUGAAGGUCAGGCAGUCCAGGCAGAGGUAACUGAGGAUGAGCUGAUGGAAGCUUUAGCUGCAAAGAGCGAAGCAGUUAUUGAAGGUGUGGCAGUUGAGGGACUAGUGGUUACGCAAGCUACCGACGAGUAACCUUUUUGCUUAGACUUAGGAAUUUUCUUUUUUUUUCCUUUUCGUUUUGCUUUAUUUGAACUUUGUGGGCCUUCAAGCUAGUUUAUCAAUUUCUUAGAAAUUUAAUAAACAGAUUUCCUUGCUUUGCUUCAAUCUUUCUAUUUUGCCAUGUCUUUUGCGAAACUUUACAGUAGGAUGGGCGGCUGGGUAAGUUGCUUCAAUGAAGCAGUCAAUCCCACGUCAUCACUUAGGUUUUAGUUUCGGCUUUAGGGCUUCAGGAGCCUUGCUUGCUUGAGGCGACUUGCAAAACUUUACCGUAAGACAGGUGAUUAUGUUGGCUACUUCGAUAGAACAGUCGAUCCCACGUCGUCACGUUAGGCUUUAGUCUUGCUUUGGGGCUUCUAAAGAUUUACCUACAAGAGGAAAAAUGCGAGAUUUAUAACUUAUAAAGCCAGCGGCCUAACUCGUCACCUUCUCCAUGUAGUGCAGUAAUUGGUUAUGUGCCCGAGACCUCUGUAGAAUGCGCAGUACUUUGUCUGAUCCAUCUUGGAUGGGUAUUCUCUUAUAGACAGUGGCAGCUUGAACCACGACUUGUCCUUGAGGUCACGAAGGAUCGGGUUGAUCGGGAUUAAGAACUUGGUGUACAUUUUGGGCACCGUGCCUCCUUUCAUUAGGGAUCGAUCCUUGCGUCUGCUUCCUGGCUUGUUUUUAUUAUUGAGCGCUUUGUCACUAGCCUUCUUCUGAGUCAUCUCUGUGUCUUUGCGUAGCUACUCAGGCUACUUUUGGGAGGGUUUGGCCUCAUCCCAAAAGGAAUGCUUUUUCGCCAAAGCAUAAGAGUCUGCCAGGGUCAAGUUCUCGUCCAUGAUUACUUCUCUAAAAAGUGGGUGAUUUGUUAGAAGUCCAUUUCGGAAGGCUGAGCAUGCAAUGCUGUCAUCGCAUCCGACGAUCUUAGCAUUCUCCACCUUAAACCUCUUGACGUAAAUACGGAGUGGCUCAUUCGGGUCAUUCUUCAUGUUGAAGAGGUGAUCAAACUUCUUCUUGAUCAAGUGGUAGGACGAAUAUUUCAUAGUGAAAACCAAGGAAAGUUCACUGAAGUUCCUGAUUGAUCGUGACAGCAGGGUGUGGAACCAAUCUUGCGCUUCGCCUUAGAGCGUUGUGGUAAAAAUCUUGCACAUGAGAGCAUCGUUGUUGGUGUAGAGGGUCAUGUCGGUAGUGCAUCAGGUGCCUGUCCGGAUCUUCAUCUCCUUUGAACAAGGUGAAAUGUGAUAGGCUGAACUUCCGCAACGACUCCAUCUGCUUAUUCUCAUCUGUGAACGGUGACCUGCUCAAGUUGACCACAUCUCUACGAAGGGCAUCGUCAGAAGUGCCAAUACGCUGGAAUCCGCGCAGCUGCUCUGCUACGAGCCUUUGUAUUUCUUCCUGGAUUUGUGCUUAGUGAGGCAAUGAAACCUCUAACUGCCCCCGGUGUUGACCUGCUGGUCCAUGUUGUUCUUUGGCAUGUCUUGCUCGUCUGUGUCGCGGUCACGGUAAACUAUGAUACUUGCCGUAACACUGGGCGGGGGCUGCCAGUGGAACUUGAGCUUGAAUGCCCUCGUGCUCUCCUAUGUCCAUCAUGAGGCUGCCUACUCCGAAGCCUCGUAAAAGGAUUUCUUUGUGGGCCUAGCCUCAUGUGGACACUUCUCCUGGAAUGUCCUGAAUGCUCGUCGGAGUGUGGACCCAACCUUGAAUGCACACUGACUCGUGAACUGAGUCAAGAAUUAGCGUUUAUCUGCGUAUCUAGGCAGGAGAAGGCGCUUCCCUAAGGGCCUAAAAGAGAGUUCACACUACUUGAAUGUGAGAAUCUUUGUCAGGACGUCGCUAGACUGAGUCAUGUUCUUCCGCCCUUGUCCUACUUCUAGACACCUCAUUUGGGGCGUACUGCAUCUUGAUAUGCCUGAUAAGUUGGUUCAUUAAGGUGGUCUGCUGUAAGAGGGUGCUCGUCAAAUUAGCGACCUGUUGGGGCAGGUAGGGCUCGUCAUUUGGAUUAGAAAAGUCUGGAUAAUGGGUGUCUCCAUGUAUAGUGGAAGUGUAGUGGACUGCAGGUACAAAACUUGAGCCCAAAGCAAGCAUUCCUGCAGAAAAAUAAGGUGAAAAUAACCUUGAAUCGAUCACGUGAUCGGUGGUCAGAAUCUGGAUCACCGGAGGUAGCCUCGGGUUGGAUUGGGCCACAAGCUGGGUUGUCAAAGUGGGUCGCAGGGCGGGCCAACCCAGCUGGGUGGUGAGGUUCUGCGUGUGGUCAUGUUGGGCUCACGCAUAUGGCAACUGGUCUUGGGCCUGCACUGUGUGCUGGGCCGGUAUAUGAUCUUCGUAUUGGGUCUGGGCUACGCAUGCAAUAGGAAUGGCUUGGCGCUGUGUUUAGGUUAUGGCUACUUGGGUUGUUAGUUGGGUUCUAACUACUGCAUCUUGGGCCUUCUAAGCUCAGCCUGCUUCUCUAUGGACUUGGGCCUUCUGCCCAUGGGCUAAUAAAUAGACCUGGGCCCUCCCGCCCAGGGUUUUAGGAAUUGGGCCGCUGCAAAGGCAAUGUUGCAAGAGCUUGUGCCAUGGCCUGGUGGCUUUGUUGUGGCUACUGGGUCACGACGGUAAUGGUGAAGCAGCUCCGCAGCGGCGGGGCUCCUCCUGCCAUCGCGUUGAGCCUUGAUGAUCUAUGUCGUAGGGCUAUAUCCUCGUCUCCACUAUUCGAUCUGAAUCCUUGUACAUACGGGGUUCCGUUCGUUGUGGUUUCUAAAUUUCCUACCAUUGUAUCAUUUCUCCAAUGAUUGAUCAAGAAGCUUUUCUAAGAAAAAUUAAUUGAUACGACGUGUGAGAAAUUCAAUGUAACAGAAAAUUCAAGAAACCAAUGCAAAUUUCCGCCGUCUUCAGUCUUGACAAAAAUGUACCCGCAACACAAUUAACACCUUUAAUCAAGGACCUACGCCUCACACACCCACGAGGUGGGGGGGGGGUUAGGCCAAUGAAUCUUCGAUGCCUAAGUCAGUUUCUCUAUGAGAAUAAAGUGUUUAGGGCUUUUUUGGGGUAGCAAAAGUUUCUGAAAUUUGGUAGAAUAUGAGGUAUUUAUAGGGAUAGGGCCGGCCAUAGUGUUAGGGUUUAUGGAGAAAUUUUCUCAAGAUAUUAAAUAGGAAAUAAUAUCUUGAGAAUUGAGUAAUUAUCCCUAAUUGAUUUAAAUAGGGAUUACUUACUUGAUUUGAGUCAAUCUUCAAUUAGGAAUGUAUUAAAGAUAGGAUUUGGGUAACUAAUCCUUAUCUUUAAUGCUUUGACUUUUCUUUGCUAAGGGCAGGUGAGUUGUGGGCAGUUGUAUUCAGCUGCAGGGACCUUCAAAGGUGUGAGCUGCGCGUUAGAGCAUCUGAGAAACCUGCCCAUUUAUUGAAGGCAAUCUUGUCUUUCUUUAGUUUGAUUUGGAUAUUUGUGGCUUGGUUCCAACCUCUUUACCACCUCUCAAAAUGAUGGCUUUUGCAGAUUCAAAUCCACCUUUUGGGUUGACAACGGUUGAACUAGGCUAUUUGCCUUGCUCUUUGAAUUGGCCCAUGAAUUACGCCAUUUGCCCCAUUUGCUUCUUCAAUUCAUCUACCUCUUUGGCUUGAUUUUGCAUUCCCUGCACCACAUUGGUUAAUAAUUGAACAAUUUGAUCGUUAUCCAUGAACGAACCUGAUUUUGGUUGGGCAAAUUGUGGUUGGGGUUGUGUUGGUACGUAUAGCCUUGGAAACAUCCCAGGGGGUGGUGGUCGAAAUCCUCCUUGUUGUGGAAGUUGUUGAGGCUCCCUCUAUUUCAUGUUUGGAUGAUCUUUCCAGCCCGGAUUGUAAGUAUUAGCAUAUGGAUCAUAUUUGGGCUGGUUUUGGCCUUGAAACCCAAUGGCUUUGGCACUUUCCCAUCCUCAAUUCUCAAUCAAUUAAGGGCAUUUUUCAGAUUGGUGUCAUUGUAUAGAGCACAUGCCAUAAAUUGUGUUUUCUUGCACUUUGGGUCUUUCAACAACCUGUGACAUAAGAAGAGUGAGAUUAGCCAAUUGAGAUUGAAUUUCAGAAAUUACACUUACCUCAUUCACAUGUUGCGGCCGUGGGGGUUCUUUCUGUCCAACUCCUUCGUAUUGUUAUGCAUUCAAGGCUUGGUUGGCAAUUUGGGUCUUGGCAGGUGUUUGUCAACCAAAGCUCAUCCCGCUGAGGCAUCUAGCAUUUGUCUUUCAAUGGGAAGAAGUCAUUCGUAGAAAUAUUGAAGGAGAAGCUUUUCUUUCAUUUGAUGUUGAGGACAUGAUGCAACGAGAGUCUUGAAACGCUCAUAAUACGCUGGAAAGAAUUCUCCUUGAUUUUGUUAAAUGCCACUAAUUCUCUUCCUCAAAGAAUGACUCUUGACGUUGGAAAGAACUUCUCUAAGAAUGCUCUCUUCAUGCUUUCCCAAGAAGUGACUGUUCCAGAUGCCAAUUCAUACAACCAAUCCUUAGCCUUUUCCAAAAGAGAGAAUGGAAAAGCAAGUAAAUUAAAGACUUAAAUAAGUUUGCACAAAAUUGGGGGAAAAUAUGGGUGAAUGGCUAGCUACAAGGUCCUUCUCCACACAUGACACGCUUGCAUACAAAACGAUUUCCAAUUGCUUUUCCAUUAAACCAUGAACCUCAACACCCCAGAUUAACCGUGAACAGCACUAAUUAACCCUCAGAUUUUCCUUAAGUCAUUGAAUUGCAUGGAUAACACAUCGGCAACCAAAUUAUUCUUCAAUAGUUCCCUACAUGAACAGCAUAAUAGAGAUACAAUAAAAAAUCAUUAAGCUUUGUGAAAAUCAUUAAGCUUUGUGAAAAUCAUAAGCAUUGACAAGGCAUUCGUAACUAUAAACAGCAUGAUACUCCUGCCAGGAAUCUACUUGACACGAUUGUGACUAGCAACCUCGACUACUUAUGAAUAUAAGUUCAUAACAUUUAGGUGAAAUGAUAAGCUCAUAUUUAUAUAUAUUUUACAUCAAACUCACUUGUCUUUUCUUAGUUAGCUCCGUAUAUUUUUGAGCUAUUUACUUUGUUUUUGUGUUUUCUAGGAUUUGUCAAUCAAAGAAAAGAAAAAUAGCACAAGUGGGAUUUUAAGUAACAAAUUUGUCAAAACUGCCUGUGCAGGUCAACUGACUUUGGAAGCAAGUUGUGAACAGCUCAAAAUGAAUUACAGAAUGAGCUUUAUAUGCUUGGAAAGCUACGGAUGUCUAUUUUCUGGAGCAUUUCGUGGAUUGUUAAUAUCAUUUUUGUAGAAGAAAUGAUCGUUUUAACACUGAAAGGUUCAGAAGAGACUGAGCAGUUUGUAACUGCAAUGAAAGCAAUAAACCCAAUAAAUCUAGCAGCCAAAACUGAUGCAGCCAAGAACAAGCCAGUUGAUACCUAUUCAAAUAUCAGAGGAAAUGGAAAUAAAGAUGAGGAUUAAGUGGGAGAAAUUGGCAUAAAGGAUACCCAAAGAGUUACAAUUGUUUUACCAUUUCCUCUCACUUAUUGCCAUCACUAAAUGGCUGUUAGUGGGUGAGUUAAGGAGAAGAAAAUGGGGCAGCAAGUUAAAAAGGGGAAAGGCUGCAGGUUGCAGGUUGAAAAAAAAAAGAGAGGAAAAAAAACAUAAAAGAAAGAGGACAAGGCAGCUUUGCGGAAAGGAAGGAAAGGAAGAAGGAAAUCUUGGCAUUCUCUCCUCUCGGUUUUAUCUUCUCAAACUUAUGUCUUUCUUUUGGUUUUAUUUGAUAAUAAUGUGUAACUAAAUUUUUAGUAGUUAGGGGCUGUUUUGAAGCCCCGAAUAUGACUGCAAGUUUGUUAUGACAUUUUGUUUGAAUUACUUUUAUGAAUGGAUGAAAAUUGAUUCACUACUUGUCUCAUUGAUGAAUUCUUUAUGUGUUUUCUACGGAUGCAUACUUAGUAAGCAUAUCUAGGAUUCUAACGCUAUGAAUAUAUGUGUGCCUGCUCUUGUCGAAUGAGGACCUACAUAUGUUCUAAAGUAGUACUUGUUAAUUGCGAUUAACAUGUGAACCAAUUUCUAGGAUAAGUAAGACAACACCAGUACUUACGAUGCCUAGUGAUGACUCAAACUCUUUUCGUUCUUAAUGAUUUCUACUUGUUAAAUCUAUGAACAUGCCAUUCUAGAUUGCAUGCUAGGGACUAAGUUAAGUUGAAAACGCCAUUCUCUUAACGUACUACAUAAGAAAGAGUAAUAGGUUGAUUUAUAACAUUGAGCCAACUUGAGCAUCUUCAUCCUGAAAUAAAAGGAAUUUGAAUGAAACAUAACAUGUUUGCAUGAUUAUUUGGUGGUGGAUAGCAAUUCCCCUAACUCGUUUUUCUUAAUUUGUGAACUACUUAAACUUUGUUUCUGUCCUGUUUUCGUUUGAUUUAAUUUAAAUAGCAAAUCAACUCCACAAAUCCUAAAAAUUUGUGUGAGUGUAGCUCUGUGUGUCUAGUGUGUUUAUAUAAAAUUUCAUAGACUUUAGAUAAGUGUAAGUCAGUCUAAUAAUUAUUUUUCGGUGGCUGGUUAGUAGGGACAGCAACCAGUUUUUGUGACAUUUUAAGUAGUUAGAUAAAACAAUCUUCUGCGGGAAAGACCCUUAUUUUCAUAUGCUACAAUUGACAAAUCUUAGUGUUAUUAAGGAAAAUCAAUAGGACAUUUGUGUGCUACUUUGUGGUGUGCUUUUAAUUCUAUCAUGAAACUCCCUUAUAUGCUAGCUUCAAAUUCAUGCAUGCAAACUAAAUAUGCAUCCUUAAUCCACAAACAAGAACAAGUUCUGAAUCAAACAAUUAAGUAAAUUGCAUUCACGAUUUAUAGAAUCACAACUGGAAGUAAUCAAUUCAUAUUGCAAAUAUAUUCAUGGCUUUGAAUUUCCCCCUAGCGAAAACGAGUUUAGCUCCUCAUGUUCGCAAAACAAAGAUAAUUAAACUUAAACAUUGAAAACAAAAGAUGGAUUACAUCUAAGAAUGUUCCAGCAAUCCAACUUGAAUGGCAAGCACAUCCAAGGGUCCUCCUUCUUCUUUGUUGCAGCACAAGGUGUGGGUGAAGGUUUGAGUGAUGAAUUGUAUGAAGGAAUGGUUGAAAGUAUGAAUGGUAGUGAAUGGAUGAUUGAAUGGUGCGGCUAAGGCAUUUAUUUAUAGGGGAAGGAAAGGACACGGCUGGGAAUUAAUUUGGGAAGAGUUUAAGACUCCAAAUCCUCCAAGAAAAGGGUAACAAAUCAGAAUCCCAAGAGGAAAAGGGUAAGUGAGGUGCGGCAAGGAAAAAAGGAAAGGGGAAUCCCUUGCCGUGCAAGGGAAAGGGUUUCUAGAGGGCAUUGGUGCGGCAUCCCUUUGCGGCUGGGAUUAGGUCUUCUAGAACCUAACAUUAAGUGUCCAAAUAUAUUUGGGAACCCUCCUUUCAGCUGUAAGUUAGUUGGAUUAGGAUUAGGAAAGUGCUGGAACAAAAUAAGGUAACUUAACUAAUGUUUCCUCUUUUCUUGUUGAUCUCCUUAUCUUCUUUAAAUUAAUUCUUCUUUCUCUUUAACACAUUCCUAGCCUUUUCAGUCUUCAAUUUCAUUCAUCCACCUUGCUCCAAACAUGUGAUAUCCAUUCCAAGCCCAAAAAUGCUCUAAAAGGCACCAAAAUGCACUUUCUUACUACUUUAGUCAUUUGGAUCUACAAACACACGAAAAUAACUUAAAAUACUAAAAUAACUAGGAACUAAUAACAUAAAUGCAAGAAAAAGCUAACUAAGUCAUAUAAAUAUGCUCCUAUAUAUAUAUAUAUAUAGAUUAAAAAAGAGUGUAGGAAAUGGAGGGGUUCGAGAGUAGGGGUACUGGGAAGUAUUCAUGAGGCUACCUCUUUUAUGCUUCAAGAUCUCAAUUAAUUGUUGUUUUUUCAUGGUUAAGAGCAAUGGGGAAUUUUUUUGUCAUUAAGGGUAUAUUAGUACUUUUACAUUAAGUUUUGGUUAGAAUUAUCAUAAAACUAAAAUAAUGGCUAUAAUUCUUUAUGGGAUCUAAAAUAUGUUUUUCCAAAUUUCCCCACACACACACACACACACACACACACACACACAUUUAUAUAUAUUAUUUCAUCGUCAGGCUCACUAAUUUUUGGGGUUAGUAUUUUUAAUCUUGCUUAUGGGGUUAUGCUGCGUUUGGCUACUGUGGAAUUGUACCUACUCAAUUGAAGUAAAGUUUGAUAUUUAUUUACUUGAUGACUUCUAGGAAUAGUGAAGAUCUAAAAGAUAAAUGGAGAAUUAAAUCUAAUAUUCAUUUCGAUUAACUAGUUAAUUAAAUAGAUUAAUGUCUAGUGAGUUUGUAAUUUGUUUCUACAAUUAGGUCAAGCAAAUGCAGUUCUGUUUCAGAAACAGCAGCUGUUACAGUAAAUAAAUCUAAUAUUCAUUUCGAUUAACUAGUUAAUUAAAUAGAUUAAUGUCUAGUGAGUUUGUAAUUUGUUUCUACAAUUAGGUCAAGCAAAUGCAGUUCUGUUUCAGAAACAGCAGCUGUUACAGUAAAUAAAUCUAAUAUUCAUUUCGAUUAACUAAUUAAUUAAAUAGAUUAAUGUCUAGUGAGUUUGUAAUUUGUUUCUACAAUUAGGUCAAGCAAAUGCAGUUCUGUUUCAGAAACAGCAUCUGUUACAGUAAAUAGCUCAAUUGUUUCUGGUGGAUUGGUGCUCCUUUUCAUUUCUUUUUUUGGUUUAGGGCAAUGUCGUAGAUAGACACCUACAUUGUAGUGGACCUAGAUAUACAACAGGAAGAUGAGUUAAUUUUGUUUCUCUAAAAAUUCAGCGUCGUUAUUACUCAAAUAUAAACUGUUAGUUGCAGAUUUUUGUAGCAUUAUUGCAACUUCAUAUCCUUAGUUUAUGUAAUUUGUCUACUUGGGUUGACAUAGAAAGACCAAAAAAUUAAACACAAUUACCUAUCAGAUACGCCGUGGAACAGUAUCCCUACUUUCAUAUUCAGCUUCUCUUACCUUAGAAUAUUUGAAACCUUGCAGAGUGUCACCUCAACCUUUUUUCUUCCCUCAACUCCAUAUGGAAAAACUUGAAUGAACAAAAACUCCCUAGCUAGGAAUCGGUACAAGAAUUAUUGAAACAUAAUUAAUUGGACAAUACAUAAGAAAAUUUUAGUUGUCAGUUAUAAAAGAAGGGUUACAAAAUAAUAGCAGCAAGUUCUCAUCUAAAAAAUGUAGCUCGGAUUGAGUAAAACAUUAACAUGUGAGAAAGCAACUUCUGGUUAGAAAGCUUUCCAUGUAGGACUAUCCAAGCCAUCUUCAAGCCCCAACUGGUAUGGAUCUCCAAAGGGCAAUGCAAGAAUCAUAUGUCUGUAAAAAUAUUUUUCAAAACACUUCUAAUUAGGCUACAAUCUUUGUUAAAAUUUGUUUUAGCACUCGUCCUUCUUGAUUUUAUUGUUUUUGUGCUUAAACUAGCAAUGGUAUAUACUAUAUAUAACAGAAUUUAAAUGAAUAUGAAUAAAUACUCGGAUUGUAAAAUAGUGUAUAAUAGUAGUGCUCUUUAUUAAUUAACUCACCGGGGUUAGUUGCUAGGAAUCGUAUGGCAACCCAUUCACCAGACAGCACACCCACGGUAUUUCUUUCAACGGCGUUGAUCAAAUUAAAGUUUGCAGAGUCCUUAUUCCGGUCAAAGUUCCCGAACCGUUACCCAACAACAAAGAAAUUAAAUCCAUGCAGAUGAAAGGGGUCGCUUUCGGCGCCCAGAAUGCUUGUGUCUUGCAUGACCAACUCCGCCCUAUUGUUCUAUGGAAGUACCAUUAGUUUUGUACUACCAUAGUAUCAUUAGUUAGGAUGCCUGUAUAGUCAAAUGGAAUUAUAGGACUGCUUGGAAAGUCAGGGCUCUCGUUAAGUGGAAUUACAGGACUGCUUGGAAAGUCAGGGCUCUAAACCCCAUUCGAUUGCCUGGAGAAGUUCGCUUGAAGUAGAGCAGUCGUUGUGUUGAAGGAAUGAAGUGUGUCCCGAUGGGUUUAGGGUGUAUCUCUAGGGUAAGCUUUUUUUUUUGGUCAACGAUCUCUAGGGUAAGCUUAAGGCUAUAUUGUUGUGAAUCAGUUUUUCCUUAAUUUAAGGGAAGUGACUGAUUAGUGUAAAGUAGAUAAAGCUUUUCCUUGAUCUAAGGAAGGUGACUGAUUGGGUUAAGUAGGUUAGCUCUAGUUGGCUGUGAUAGACAGCCUUCUUUUAUUCCUCCUAGUCAGCUGCUUGCAGUAGCUAACUAUCCGGACCUCUUCUUCUUCUCCUCUCUCAUAUAUAACUUGUCACUUGUACAUUUGAAUAUAUGAAAAUACAUUGAAACUUAAAGCUAGAAAAUCUACACGUUGGCAUUGCAAAAGAAACGUUAUUAACUGAAGCUGCAAACAUUGUUCCAUUAGAUCCCCGAAAGGUUUGGUUAUUGUUGCUGCAGGGGUUCGUUCCAAGGCCUAUUGUGAAGAAAAAGUGUUUGUUAACCUUAUGGGGGACAUUAGCAGGAAAUUGUGCAUUGGCUAAUUAUUUGUAUCAUAUUUACGGAUUGAAAACAUCUUUUAUGUGAAAUUGAAUGACACACAUAUCCCAGUAAUCAACCUUGGAUGCUAAUUUUAGAUUUUAAUGCCAUUACUAGUUUAAAUGAAAAAGUAAGGGAUCAACGAGUAGUCACAAACUACAUGUUAAUUUGUGGACUUCCAGAAUCGAGGAGCCUUUCAAGUCUUAAUGCUUCUUGAGUUCCUUUUACGUGGACUAAUAGUCAUAAAGAUAAUAUUGUUAUCUUUGAAAAGCUUGAUAGAGUUAUGGCCAACUCUUAGUGGUUGUAUACAUUCCCCAAGUAUAGGGUUCAUAAGGCCAUCUCCAACCGAGGGUUGGCCAGAGGGCUCGUUUUAGCCCUCUGGUCCUCCAAGAUAUUAAUAUUUUAAUGAACAGUACAAGGCCAUAUUUGCCUCCAUCUCCAAUCGAGAGCCAAAGGGCCAUAUGACUCAUUUUAGCCCUGUCACAAAAAAUCGUCUCCAACCAAAGGACAUAGGGCCAAACAUAAUUUAUUAUUUAAAAACUACAAGUUAAAUUCAAAUUUAACAGCUAAGUGACAUUAGCAUGAUGUCAGCUAGCAGUUGGUAGCUGACUUCAUGCUGACAUUAGCUAGCCGUUGGAUUUGAAUUUAUUUUUGCUAUAAAUAGGGUGGAUAUUGGGCUAUAAUUCACACAACUUUGAAUUCAAUCUAUUUCAAUUCAAUCUCUUUCAAUUCAAUCUUUUUCAAUUCAAGUUUGCCUUUUAAUCCAAGAACUAGUAGUAUCUCUAUAAAUGAGUACAUGAGGCACUAUAGAAUGAUACGUUCUCGUGCUACAAACAAGUACCUACAACAGGAUCUUGUUGCACAUCUUUGGGCCAAAAGAAGCAUGGAGUAGGCGUUUAAGUUUUAUGUUUUUAAAAAUAUUGUAAGUUUCAUGCUGUUAAAUGUUUUUUUUUAUGUUGUAUAAUUUGUAUGUUGGUUAAUGUUAUUUAAUGUUGUUUCAUAUUGUUUAAUGUUGUUUCAUGUUACUUAAUUUAAUUUAAUGUUGUAUAAUGGCUUAGGACAUUAUAGGAAAAAAAAAUAUAAUUUAAAAAAAAUAUGAAACAAAUUUUGUGAAAUAACAGUUAUAGGAAAAAAAAAUAGAAGUUAAAAUAAAAUGAAACAAAUUUUGUGAAAUAGAAGUUACAGGAAAAAAUGGAAUUAAAAAAAAUAUAUGAAACAAAUUUUGUAAAAUAAAAGUUAUAGAAAAAAAAUAGAAUUUAAAAAAAUAUUAAAAAUAGAAGUUAUAGGAAAAAUUUUGUAAAUAAAAAAUAAUAAUAAAACUGUAAAAAAAAAAAAUCAAAUGCACAGCUAGCUGACGUCAGCUAGCCGUUGCAUUUGAAUUUUAGCUUUAGCAUUGGCCAGCCUCGAGCUGGCUAGCUACAUGCAGCCAGCCCUCCAGCCCUUUCAGAUUCCAUGGGGCCCUCUCAGAUUCCACGAGCCCUCUGGCCUAGCCUCGGUUGGAGACGGUUUUUUGGUUAUUUUCGGCAAUUUGGCCCUCUGGUCCCUUUAGUUGGAGAUGGCCUAACUUUCCUAUUUUUGGCUCUAACCAUAGCCCCGUUAAACUAACUUUUUUGGACAAGACUGCUAACUUCUAAACAAAUUUCAAAUUUGAAGCUAUUUGGCUUAAUGAUCCUGAUUGUACUAAUUUGGUUAAAGAAAGUUGGUUGGCCAAUUUCCAGGGUCAUCUAAACGAUAUGUUCAGAGCUUGUGAUAAUUCCUUUAAAUUCAAAGCGAAAGCAUGGAGUAAAAAUAUCUUCGGUAAUGUGACAAAGAAGAUAAAAGAGCUCCUAAGUGAACUGGCAACUGUUCAGGACUGUAUGAAGAAUCCUAAUAGGAAUGAUUGGUUGGAGAAGGAAAGGAAAUUAAAUGAUUCCCUUGUUGCUUUGUACAUGGAUGACGAAAUUCUCUGGGCUCAAAGACUUAAGGCUAACUGGUUGCAGCUUGGGGAUAGAAAUACCAGGUACUUCCAUACCUAAAUCACUAUAAGGAAAAGAAGAAAUGAAAUCAUAAAAAUUAAAGAUGAUCAUGGUAACUGGUGGGAAAAAAAGGUAAACGUAUGGAGGAUCUAUUUAUUCAAAAGUUUAAACAAAGGCUCACCAGCACCAUUCAAAGUCACAGAGAUAAUAAGGUGGAUGAAUCCAUAAGUGUUCUAAAUCCUGUAUCUCAGUAGAACAACAAUUUGCUCAUAAGGCCUGUAACUGAGGCUAAAAAUUUUUAGGCUGUGAAAGCUAUUGGGAGCUUAAAAGCUCCUAGUCCUGAUGGUCUCCACGCUAUCUUCUAUCAUGAAUGUUAGGGUCAUGUUAAGGGCUAGUAAACCUAUCCUUAAAAAUGGAAUGAGAUGGAUUGUUGGAAAUGGUAAAAACAUAAUGUUUUGGUCCCAUAACUAAAUUUUUCCUUUCCCAUUGUCCACUCCUAUUCAAGAUCAAUUAAUAAACUCUUUAAAUUAAAAUAUGAAAGUUAGUGAUGUCAUGGUAGAGAAAAUAUAGAACAAUGAGUUAAUCCUUCCAGUGCUGCCUAACGAUGUAGCAAAUAAAAUUUUUGCCAUCUCUAGCCCUUUAAAUGAUAUGGAGGAUGAGUUUAUCUGGGACCAUCUUUUAAUGGAAAUUUAUCAAUUAAAUUAACUACUUGGAUUCAAAUUGAUGAUGCUCACAGUAAACUUUUCAACGAUUUAUUCAAGAAAGUGUGAAAACUUAGUAUUCCACAUAAAGUUAAAUUUUUUGCUUGGUUGCUUAUAAGAAAUAGAUUGUCUACUUACAAGAGAUUAGAUAAGUAUCAUCAUAAUGGCCAAACUCUUUGCCCUUUAUGCAAUAUUGUAGAGAAUGAUCAACUACACUGUUUUGUUUACUAUAAUCAUGCUUAAGAAGUUUGGAAGCUUUGUAAUAACAUGCGUCCACCGCCACCACCCCCCCCCCCUUCCCCUCCCAUUACCAAUAUGAAUGAUUGGUUAGUGGGGAUGUUAGCUUUAGAUAAAAUGAUCUUUCUGACCUUAGAAAAAUCUCAAUUCUUUGUUGGCAAAUGUGAAAUGAUAGAAAUAAUUUUGUUUUUAAACAGAUUAAACCUUAUCCAACUUUCUGUCUGAUGACAACGACUAUAAUUGGAAAAGAUUUCCUAAAGGCUAAUUUGAAACAGAAACCAAGCAAGACUAAGCAACACCAUUAGAUGGAAAAUGCCUACAGAAGGCUUUUAUAAGCUCAAUUUUGAUGGGUCAGUGGAGGACACUUUUGCUGCUAUGGGUUUUAAAAUAAAAAAUCAUUAGGGGUGUGCUCGCUCGACAUCUUGGACCAAUCACUAUCACCAUGGAAGAAGCUUAGGCUCUCCGGGAUGCUCUGGCUUUGGCCAAAUAACGUCAAAUCAGGAAAAUUGUGGUCGAAAAGGGACUCAAAGGUUGUCUUUGAUGCAGUUUUUGGAAAGUGUACAGUACCAUGGAGAAUUAAGUCCAUCGUUUAGGACAUUAAAUGGCUUACCUCAUCGUUUGAGCUAGUAGAAUGGAACCAUUUCUACAACGAAGCAAACUUCAUGGUGGAUGCUAUCACUUCCCUUGAGCAUAAUUGUACUAAUUUAUAUAUGUGGGAUGGGUGUGUUCCUCACCAAGCCAGAAAAAAAAAGCUCUCUUGUAUUAUUCUCGAGGCCUUGGGUGUCAUUGAAGUUUCUAUUUAAUUUAAUCUUCUUUCUUCCUAAAAUAAAUUAACACAAAUACAUGUGUGAAUGACUAUAUACAAUUGAUAUAAUAUGGUCAUGUGCAUGGUCUAAAAUAUCCAUAAUAUCCCGAUAUUUCCAUCGAAAUUUCCGUGUUUUUGGACUACAGAUAUUUUUUUGGACUACCGAUAUUUCCGAUAUCAUCGAUAUUUAGACCUUGCUAAGUCACUCAUGUAUCUUACCAUGCAAUGUAUAAAGUGUAAAAUAUUGUACUAAUUCAUUAUAUAUAAAUGAUUAUGGUGUGUUUAAACUUCUUUCAUUAAUUACUACAUAUUUUCUACACUCACAAUGUUUGCCAGCUCGCUAUCUAAUCAACUUAAAUCAGUUAUACCUAUCAUGCAAUGCAUUUCCUUCCAAUUUUUUGUGUUAAACUAAUAGAUAAUUGACUAAAUAAACAUCGUGCAAAGUUUCAAUAAAAAUUUCCAAUUUUUUCUUAUAAUUUCCGUAGUUUUUAUUCAAUUUUUAUCGAUAUCGAUAAUAUCUCGAUAUUUCCAUCGAAAUUUCCGUGUUUUUGGACUACCGAUAUUUCCGAUAUCAUCGAUAUUUAAUACCUUGGUCAUGUGUGGGAAAAAUUAGGAAUUCUCAAAGGAAUGAGCUAAAUAUAAAAUAACAAAAGGAAAGGAAAAAUAAUGCAGAUCAACGGCCACCAAUUUAAUAACGGAAGCACAACACAAAAUUUAAAGACCAUCAGAAAAGAGGUAAUCGGCUUAGUUGUACUUGAAAAUGAUUGUUAUUAUGUUGCUUUGGGCUUUUGGAUGAUGGGUUAUGGUAAAGCCUCGUUUGGGCCAAAAGUCUUAUCUUGGACUAUAAUAGCCUAUUUCACUUCAGUUGUUAAUUACUUGCGCCCAAAUCUACUUGGACCAUAACAUGUGUCUUAAUUGUUACUUAGUACUACAGUAUAGUGAUAUUCUUCUUUACUUGUAAGUGACAGGUCUUAGAUUCGAUUCUCGCUAAAUGCAAAUUUGAACCACAUUAUUGCUAACUCAUUGUGAGGCUUAGCCCACUCCCUCACCCCGUUAGUGUAGAUAAUAUCGUUUGUUCCAAAAAAAACAUAUGUCUUUAUUUUAUCUUAAAGUUUUUCUAGAGUUGAGGAAUUGGUUGCAACUUUUGUUUCUUAAAUUUUGUGUUCUAAACUCUCUUUUAUUUGUCAUACAUAUAUACAAUAAUGUCGCUUUGAAUAUAUUAAGUCAUUCCGGAACCUCUUCUAACUAACGAACACAUACCUCCUUUCACUCUCCCUAUUAUCAACUUAUCACUAGGCAAAAAGAGGCGUCACAUUUGGUUUAUGACUAAUUGUUAAAUUGAGCAAUGAGCAUUGAAAAUAGCUUAUUUUCAACAGGUAAAAAAGACUAACCGUUAUGCCUCAUGUAAAUACAAGACCAGGACCGACUGUGAGAUUUUGGAGGCAUGAGGUAGGCCAAUGAAAGGGGGCCCUUGUGUUCUUAGGCAAUCUUACGUUUUUUUUUCCUUUUAUUUUUUAUUUUUUAUCAAUUAGGCAAUCUUACGUUGUACGUUGAUGUACGUUGCUUUUUGGGUUAAAAAUCACUAAUUUAUUAUUAUAGAAUGCCUUAGAUGAUACAAGACUUAAAAAAUCACAAUAAUAAAUUAUUGAAAAACACAUUAAUUUCAUAGUUUCUAUUUGAUUACCUUAAAUCGCAAUCUUGUAGAUCUUGUGAGAUUUGAUUUCCACCAAUAGAAUAGAGAGAUUGAAAUUUGAAAGAAAAGAGAGAAUUGCAAGAGACUUUGGGUGCGUUUGUUUGGGCUCGUUAACUCUUACUGGACUCGCGUGGAUUAUUUCCACCGCUAGAAGUCUUAGCGAGACCCAGAAACCCAUGAGACUGCUAAGACAUUCGUUGCAUUUUCAUCUUCUCGCCUUCCUCUCUGCAUCGCAUCCUCCCUCUCCUCUCUUUGCUCGCGUCGCCAACAUCGUAUCGUCUGGUAGUUUUGAUUCUCCCGUCGCGUCCUCUAUGCACUUUGGUCUCGACGUCGUCCGAUUCACUCCGAGCUUGCAUGCACCCUCGCUGGUAGACAAAGCCCAAAUUUCCUGGAAUUACAAAAUCCAUUCAAAUCGCAAAACCCACACUUAAAAUGCAAAUCCCAAAAUUGAAUUGCAAAAUCAAGUUCGUCUGAAGCUCACCAUCUGCACAUCUUUUUCAAUCGUGAAACACAGAUUUAUGCGGAACAACUUUUCAAGAUAAUAAUAAUAAUAAUAAUAAUAAUAAUAAUAAUAAUAAUAAUAAUAAUAAUAAUAAUAAUAAUAAUAAUAAUAAAAAGAGAGAAACAGGGAGAGCUUUUUUGAGAGAAAGUGUUCUUGAAAAAGGGGAGAAAUGAAAAGAAACCAGAAAAGAGGGAGAGCAUUCAGAGAUGGUUCUGGAAAAAGGGAAGAAAGGAAAAUGAACCAAAAAAGAGGAAUAGGGGUGGGCGCGGUGCGAUGGGCUGCGGUGCGGUGCGGUGUGGUUUUGAAGUUAAAAUCGAAAUGAAAUCAAACUGUUUGGUUCGGUUCGGUGUAGUUUUAAAAGGUUUCGGUUUGAUUUUUGAGAAAAAAAUGUACAAUUUAAAAUAUACAUCUAUUUAUACAUAAGAUGGUCUUAUUUUCCUCAUAUAUUAAUUAAUGAAUAUGCAGCAACAACAAUGCAGCAAAAAACAGUGGCAAAACUGCAAAAAAAGUGCAGCAAAAAGCAGCAGCAAAACUGCAAAAAACAGAAAAACAGCAACAAAAAACUGCACCAAAACUGGAGCAAAAAACUCAGUAAAACUGCAACAAAAACUGCAGCAAAACUGCACCAAAUUUGCACCAAAACUGCACCAAAAAACUGCACCAGGUUGCACUGUCGCAAACUUACAGAGAUGCAAGCAGAAGUAACCAGGUCGCAUAAUUAAAGAUGAGUUUCAAGAAGACGAGUUAAGGAAAAGAUGAGUUUUAAGAAGAUGAGUUAAGGAGAUGAAGAUGUGUUUCAGCCUUCAGGAGUCGAAGUGCAAAACUAAAUGAUAAUGAUAGUCUAGUAACCUAGUUGAACUAAUUAAAAGUUUAAAAUAUAACAUUUAUUUAUUAAUUUUAUUAUAUGGUGCGGUUUCGGUUUCGGUGCGGUUUUGAAAACCCAAAACCGAAACCAAACCGUUUUCUUUGCCGCGGUUUGGUUUCGAAACCAAAACCGUUUCAAAACCACAAAACCAACCGUUCGGUGAGGUUCAAUUCGAUUCGUGUUUCGGUUUCGGUUUUCGGUUCCAAGUGCCCACCCCUAAAGAGGAAGAGCUUUCGUGAAAAGAAAAGAAUGUUCUAAAAAUAAAAAAUAAAGAAAAGAAAAAAAGAAAAGGUUAUUUUGCUUGUUAAUUCGGCACUGCACCAAAUGCUUCACUAAGUUAAUUUAGGUUAUUUAGUCUAAGCCAGUUUAACUUGGUCCCUAAACUUAGAGCUGGUUUGGUAUUGCUAUACUUUGAAAAAAAAACUGCUUCUGUUGUGCUAUGAGAAUAAGCUCAUUUUUGCUGCUUCACGUUUUCAGUUUUUUUUUUAUUAACAGAAGACACCUCAACAUGUUAGUUAGACACCUUAGCAUUUGAUUAGCUCAGUGGUUAAGUUUUAUCUAAAUAUAACAACUGUGAUUUUAAAGACUAUAUAUAUUUGGAUAAUCACUUGUAUUUUGUAAGUAUUCAUGUCAGUAAAUACAACUUGCUCUCCAAGAUCUUUUCUCUCUCUAACAUUUCAUUCUCUUUCUUGUUCUUCACACUUUGUUUCCAUUGUUGAAUCUUUGAGUUCUUGAGAUCAUGAUUUCUCUCUAGUUAUCAUGGUAUCCAGAGCUUAGGUUUCAAUAAAUCUAAGAGGAGGAUCCUGGUUGGUUCAUCUGGCGCUGCGAUAGCUGUUUGGCGGUGGAUUUGGUGGUUGUUUGGCUGGAAUUUCAAUUGUUGUUGGCAAUCGAUUUCUUUGUGUUUUCGUCACAUCAGGUUUCGAUUUCUUUACUGGUUAAUGCUACCUGUGUUCGAUAUUUGUGAAAUUUUUUGAAUUAUCUGUUUGUGUUGUUGAAUGCGAUGAUUCUGUGUUGGUAAUUUUCUAAGGCACAAAGCCUCUAAGUAAUUGUUUGGGAAUUUUUCAUUCAUCUGAUCAAUUCAAAUUCGAGCACGAAACUCCUUGUUAUCUGCAAUUUGUAUGUGAUUUGUCUCCCUGCAGUGAUUUUGUUGAAGACUGGACAUUUGAGUUUGUGAUGAGUUUUGUGGAUUGUUCUUUGUUUUCUUUUGGCAUGAAACCUGUUGAUGUUAAUUGUUGGCACGAAGCCUGUUGCUACUCAUUGGUGGCACGAAGCCUGUUGAUACUCAUUGGUGGCAUAAAGCCCGAUUUAUUCAUCAAUUUCUUGAGCACGAAGCUCUCUACAAAAGUUUUUUUUUUUUUUUUUGUGUUUAGCUAUUCGAUCGAAAAUUCUUUUGAAGCAUGGCGAUGAAUUCUAUCAAGAUGGACAGUUUAUUGGGCAUGUUAACUAUGCGAUUACAAGAUGAUAAUUUUGUGAAAUGGUCCUUUCAAUUUUGAUCUAUUCUUGAAGGUUAUGACCUAUUUGAGCAUUUUGAUGGUUCCUUUGUGUGUCCGUCGAAGUUUGUGGUUACUAAGGAGACUGGGAUUACUACUGAGAUUACAAAAGCCGAUAAGGAGUGGAUUAAACAAGAUAGAGCUCUUGUGAGUCUAUUACUUGCUACACUUGGUGAUGAAGCUGUUGAGUAUGUUGUUGGUUGCAAAACUGCUCAUGAAGACUGGACGAAUCUUCAAGACCGGUAUGCUACUGUGUCUAGGGCUCAAAUUAAUCAUUUGAAGACUGAGCUUCACACUAUCAAGAAAUGGGCUAAUAGUGUAGAGAAGUAUAUGCUCAGACUUAAGGCUUUUAAAGAUCAAUUAAUUGCAGCUAGUGAAGUAACAUUUGAGAAUGAUCUAAUUAUAGUUACUUUGGCUGGCUUACCUGCUGAGUUCAACAUGAUUCGAACUAUGAUUGUAGCUUGUGAGACUCCAAUUUCCUUUAAGGAAUUUAGGGCAUAAUUGUUAGCUGCUAAAAGAACUGCUAAAGAUCUCAUUCUACUUUGACUUUUCCAAUGUCCGACAUGUAUUGCCAUGGUGAAUCUUCUAAUGCUGCUCAAAACUCUUAGAGGUCUUCAUAAUAUUUUGAUGAAGGUUAUGGUUAUGUUGGUCAAAGUCGUGCUGAAUCUUCGAGUAAUGGUUCCAGACCAAAUGGUGGGCUAAUUUCUCAAGCUCAAUUGCCUCCAUUUCAUCAAUAGGGAAAUGGUCAUUUUCAAAAUCAAAGGAAUUAUCAAAAUUAUGGCAGCAAUAAUGGAAGAUUUAAUAAUCGACCCAGAUCUAAUAGAGGUAACAAUGGCAGAUUUUCUAGGAAUUCCACCAUGCCUUCUAAUAAUUUUGGUAACAGUGGAGGAAUUGGAAUGGCAACAUUGGUUCUAAGUCUACUCUGAUUCCUAAAUGUCAAAUUUGUAAUAAGCGUGGGCAUACUGCACCAAAUUGCUUCUCUUGGUAUUUUGCAAGUUCUAGCACUGUUCCUUCAAUUCUAGAGUGUCAAAUAUGUGGGAAACGAGGGCAUACUGCUCUUAACUGCUACCACAGGAGCAAUUAUGCUUAUCAGGAUGCUCAACCACCAUAUUGUCUCACUGCUAUUACUGCACAAACAAAACCAAGUUUUGCUUCUUCAUAACCAAAUUGGGUGCUAGACACAGGUCACAUGAUAGUAGAUUUGGAUAACUUGACUCUGGUGGCCCCUUUUGAAGGAAAUGAACGAAUUACAGUGGGUAAUGGUUAAGGACUUCCGGUUGCUUGGGUUCCAUUUUCACUCCUUCGAAACUAUUAACUUUGCAAAUGGUUUUACAUGUUCCUAAAUUCGUUGCUAGUCUAUUAUUUGUUGAUAGACUGUGUAAAGAUAACCAUUGUUAUGUUAUUCUUGAUGAGUUUGGUUUUUGGGUGCAGGACAAGGCAACAAAGAAAAUCAUCGAAAGAGGAAGGAGUAGUAGUAGUGGCUUGUAUUACAUCCCUCAGCAACAUUUUUUCCAGUAUUCUCAGCUUUUGGACACUCCACCACAUGCUUUUUUAGGGAAGCUUGUGAAGUCUUCUAUUUGGCAUCAUCGACUUGUUCUAUAACCACGAGUUCAGCUAUUUCAUCUGUACUUGAUUCCACUUUGCAAAAGUUAUCUCAUACCAUAGUGUCUGUUGUUUUACCAAGGCAUUUGAAUGAGUUUGAGGAACAAUUAUCAAAUAUGGGAGUGCCAUCUUUGUCUUCUCAAAGUUCCAGUGUAUCUGCCAGUUUAGAUAGCAUCUCAGCACAAGUUACUACUCCUACUACUACUCUACUAGCAACUUCUUCUUCCUCUCAAGUGUUGCUUAUCCAUACUCAGACCCCAACUCAAGUAUCUUUUUCUUUUCCUGAGCCAUGAUAGGAGCAUAUUUAUGCAACUUAGUUAGCUUGUCUCUUGGUAUUUACUUAGUUUAAUUCUAGUUAUUUUAGUACUUUAAGCUAUUUUCGUGUGUUUGUAGGUUCAAAUAACAAAGUUACCAACAAAGUGCUAUUUGGAGCCUUUUGGAGCCUUUUUGGGCCAAGAUUGGAUAGUGCAAGCAUGGAGACAUAAGGAUGGAUGUUUUUGAAGAUUUGAAGGCUAAAAAUCAGCAUGUGUGUGUGCAAGUGUGUUGACCUACAACUCCAAACAUCCAUCAAUUACACCCAUUACAUCCACUCAUUACCAAACACUCAUCCACUACACCCAUUACAUCCACUCAUUACCAAACAUCCAUCCACUACACCCAUUACAUCCACUCAUUACCAAACACUCGUCCACUACACCCAUUACAUCUACUCAUUACCAAACAUCCAUCCACUACACCCAUUACAUCCACUCAUUACCAAACACUCACCCACUACACUUAUUACCAAACACUACACAUUACCCACUACACCCAUUACAUCCACUCAUUACCAAACACUACUCAUUACCAAACACUCGUCCACUACACCCAUUACAUCCACUCAUUACCAAACAUCCACCCACUACAACCAUUUCAUUACCAAACAUCCACCCACUACAACGAUUACAUCCACUCAUUACCAAACAUCCACCCACUACAACCAUUACAUCCACUCAUUACCAAACAUUCAUCCACCACACCCAUUACAUCCACUCAUUACCACAACACUUAUCACUACCACCUUAAUUAGACGGUGGUCCUCCCUAGCCUAUAAAUACAUCCACCCUUCACCAUAACAAUGGGGAAGAAAACGAGAGAGAACACAAUCCACCCAUCCACCCUUCACCAUAACUCACCUAUAUCCAUCCACCACCAUAAUUUACCACUCAUCCAUCAAACCACACCUUGUGCCACAAAAAAGAGAAAAAGGAGGACCCUUGGACGUGUUUGCCAUUCAAGUUGGAUUGUUGAAGCGUUUUUAGGUGUUUUCUUUCUUUUGUUUUCAAUGUGUAAAUUUGUUUAUCUUUGCUUUGUAAGUAUGAGGAACUAAACCCCCCCCUUAGCUAGGGGGAAUUCGAAACCAUGUUCAUGCUUGCAAUAUGAUUUGAUUACCUUCAGUUAUGAUUUCAUAAGUUGUGAAUUCAAUUUGUUUAACUGCUUGAUUGAUAACUUAUUCGUGUAUGUUUAUUAAGAGUGCACACUUAGUUUGCAUGCAUGAAUAUGAUGCUAGAGUAUAAGGGAGUUUCACCUAAUAGUUACAAACUUAUAUUCACAAGUAGUGGAGGUCGCUUAUAAACGAUCGCGUUAAAUAAAUUUUUGGCAGGAGUUUCAUGCUCAUCAUAGUAACGAAUGCCUCGUCAAUACUUAUAGUUUUCAUAAUGCUUAAUGAUCUUUGAUUGUAUCUUUAUUGUGCUUUUCACGUAAAAAACUUUUGAAGAAUGCUUGAAUUGUUGUAUGCGCUUUCCUAUCAAAUUCAAUAACUUAAGGAGAACUUGAAGGUUAAUUUAAGCGGACUUAAUUAACCUGGGGUGUUGAGUUUCAUGAUUGAUCGAAAGAACAACUGAAAAUUGGUUUAUGUGCAAAUAUGUCAUGUGUGGAGAAGAACCUCUUAGCUAGCCUUCCAUCCAUUCAAUUUACUCAAAUUCGUGCAGAUUUCAUUAGUUCUUUAAUUUACUUGUUUUGUUUUCAAAUUCGUCAAAACCAAAACCCCCUUUACUUUAAAGUGUUUUGUUAGUCAAAAUCUGUUUUGAUUUGUGUUUUAGGUGUCCCAAAAGUGUGUUAGAGUCCAAGUCUGCCCAGUUUGUGUUUUUAGGCAGAUUGAGCGUUUUUAGCUUGUUUUGAGUCCUUUGAGUUUGUUUUAAAUUCUUUGAGUCUAGUUUAGUGUUUUUAACUUUGUUUAUAUGUUUUUAAGUCAGUUUAGAGGUUUUAGUAAGCCUUCCUAAUCCCCGGUUUAGAACGAUCCCUACUUGCAUUUAUACUACAAUUUGACAACAAAAGGGUUUAAUUUGUGUGUUAAGUUAAAAUUCGCAUCAAGCCAUCUCAUACAUCUACAGAGUUUGAUACUCAAAUUACUCAUUCAAAUCAUGAACAUGAUGUGUCUAACACUGUUGUGCCUAGUAAUGUAGUAGUUGUUUCUUCUGAUCAUAAUAUGGUUACAAGGUUGAAAAGUAGUGCAAUCCAAAGAAGGAACUAUGCAGCUUAUCAUGCAUCUUUAUCUGAUAAUGAGUUUACCCUUCUUUCACAUACUGAUGAUGUAGUCUUUUGUGGUUUUACUUCUGUGUUGGAUACUCAUGAUUCUUCUGAGCCUUCUCAUUAUAAAAAGGCAGUUCUAUCUCAGCACUGGCGCAAUGCUAUGACAGAAGAAUUUAAUGCUCUUCACAAACAAGUUACUUGGGAGUUGGUACCUUAUCCAAAAAAUAAAAAUGUCAUAGGUAGCAAAUGGGUGUAUAAAAUCAAGAAAGAUCAAGAUGGCAAGAUAUUGAGGUACAAGGCUCGACUUGUUGCACAAGGAUAUAGUCAAUAACAAGGCUUGGAUUAUGAAGAAACGUUUAGCCCGGUUGUUCGACAUACUACAGUUAGGCUUGUUUUAUCUCUUGCUACUAUGCAUAAGUGGGACUUAAGGCAAUUAGACGUGAAAUAUGCAUUUUUACAUGGUGAAUUACAAGAAGAGGUGUUUAUGAAACUAACUCAAGGGUUUCAAGAUCCUUUAUAUCCUAACCAUGUUUGCAAACUUCUCAAAUCUUUGUAUGGUUUAAAACAGGCACCACGAGCCUGGAAUGCAAAGUUUACCAGUUAUCUUCCUACUUUGAAGUUUCAGUCUUCUCACUCUGAUCUGAGCUUGUUUGUGAAAUUCUGUGAUGGUGAUGUAGUAAUUCUUCUUUUAUAUGUCGACGACAUUAUUAUUACAGCAAGCAAUUGAUGAUUUGGCCUCUGUAUUUGACAUGAAGGACAUGGGCAAACUCACUUAUUUUCUGGGACUUCAAGUUACCUACAGAGAAAAUGGGGAUAUUUUUCUUAGGCAGUCAAAGUAUGUCAUUGAUCUUCUUAAUAAGGCAGGUAUGGUGCAUUGUAGGCCUUGCUCCACUCCUAGUAAACCUCAUACACAGUUAUUGAAGGAUGAAGGAGAAUCAUUGUCUGAUCCCACAGUUUAUAGAAGUUUGGUUUGUGCAUUGCAAUAUUUGACCUUUACUAGGCUAGAUAUUGCAUAUGCAGUCAAUUAUGCUUGUCAAUUCAUGAAUAACCCAAUAGAAGAUCAUUUCUGUUUGGUGAAGCUGUGCAUACUUAGGUAUUUGAAGGGUACUUUGACCUGUGGCAUUACUUAUUCAGCUACUGGAAAAUUGGAGUUGCUUGCCUAUAGUAAUGCUGACGCAGCUGAUAUCAAUACUAGACGAUCAACAACUAGAUAUGUUGUUUUCCUAGGAUCUAAUCUCAUUUCUUGGCAGUCAAAGAAGCAAGGCAAUGUGUCUAGGAGUUCAACAGAGGCUGAAUAUAAAGCAUUGGUUAAUGCAACAGCUGACAUUGCUUGGAUUCGACUGGUUCUUAAUGAUCUUCAUAUGUUUCUUCCUUGUGCUCCUGUGUUGCAUUGUGAUAUUCUGUCUACAUUAACUUUGUGUUCUAAUCCAGUCUUUCACACUCGGAUUAAACACUUAGACACUGAUUUUCAUUUUCUUCGUGAAAGAGUACAAAAAGGGGAUAUGGAGGUUCAGUACAUUCUUAUAGAUGCUCAGAUUGCAGAUGUCUUAACAAAAGGAUUACACAAUCCUUUGUUUGUUCGUCAUUGUUCCAAUCUCAGACUGGGUUAUCCCAGCUGAGAUUGAGGGGGAGUAUUAACAAAAGACACUUCAACAUUUGAUUAACUUAGUGGUUAAGUUUUAUCUAAAUACUAUGAUUUUAAAGUCUUUAAAUAUAGUCUUUAAAAUCACAGCUGUUAUCCAAAUAUAUAUAGUCUUUAAAAUCAUAGUUGUUAUAUUUAGAAUCAUGUUUAGCCUCCCUCUCGGUUGGAGAUGUUUUUUGUCACAUGGCUAUGUUUGGCCUAUGGUCAUUUGGCCCCUUCGGUUGGAGAUUGUAUGAAAUAUGGUAUGGCACUGUUCAUUAAAAUAUAAUUUCUUAGAGGGCUAUAGUGUUAAAAAGAGUCAUCUGGCCUUCUUUCGGUUGAAGAUGGCCUCAGUCUUUCUACUUGGGCAUUUUCUAUUAUAUGGAAUUAAUUUGAAAAAAAAAAAAACAUAAAUGCAUCCUUCGUGUUUCAAAUUGAAAACAAUUCACAAAAACCAGUUUUUUUCCCCACUAAGCAAGCAGUUUUUUUUUUUUUUUUUUGUUAUUUAUCUUACUUUUAUAGUGUGUGUGUAUAUAUAUAUAUAUAUAUCCAAAUAGAUACAUAAAAGAAAUUUGGGGCUAGUAAAUCAGAGGUCCUAGGCAGUCGCCUUACUCAGCUUCCCUCAAGGCUAGCCCUAUGUCACUAUAAGAGCAUUUCCAACUGUUGCUUAUAAGCAAGGGCAAAGGCAAUGCAAUUGCCCAAAACACCUCCAACAGGACAAUAAAAGAAAUAAAGGCAAGUGGUGGACCAAGCCAUGCUAGCCCAAAUGCCCAUGUAAGUUAAGCAUUGCCUUCCUCAACAGGCAUGGCUGACUCAGCCACGGUCUUUACGUUUUUUCCAAUUUGUAACACAUGUCCAAAAUCAGGGUGUGAGCCAACAAAACCUGCAAUAGUAGGCCUUGUUGCAACACUAAUUGAAGAGCCUAACGGCUCUAUGACGUGGCACGAUGAGAGCCGUUGGAUUUCCAACAACCUGAUGAUCUGGACUAUUGGAUUUUCAAUGGUAAAGAAUUUAAAAAGUUAUCGAUGCACCAUGUUGCACGUUCUAGUGCGUCAGAUUCAACAAUAAAAAAAAUCAAACGGUCAGGAGUAAUUUGAUUGUUAAAAAUGGAAGGAAAAAAAGAAGAAGAUGGCGAUGCAACAAAUACGGAAGAAGAUUCAUACACAAUUUGUCGAGCUGAUUCAACGCAUAUCCAGGUCUGAGCUAUCUCUAUUGAGUAUAUGCAAACAUCUAAGUAAGUCAACAUAGAGAGUUAAAAUCUGGGCAAGAAGCCCUCACAAAAGCAUAAUCUAUUUAUCAAAAUGGCAAUAAUAUAGCCAAUAAGGUAAUAACAUUUUAUUAUUAAUAAAUUUCAAAUGUGAUUAACAUGUUAUUAUUUGGACCAUCAGGUAAUUAAAAGUAAUCAUUGAUUAUGUAAUUUAUAAUGUUGUUUCAUAAUUCUUUGCUUUGCAUUUGAAAUUAAAUUAUUAGAGUUAAACAUGGAGUUUUACUUUCAAAGAACAAACUUACAAAGUGCACACUUAAACACUUACAAGGCAUAUAUAAAUAAAUAAUAUAUAUUUGUGAAUAAUAAUCGCCCUUAUCUGCGACAACUCGUCCUUAAUUUUAAGUUUUAUAAAUUUUAAAAUAGUGAUUUUAUGAAAAUGCCCUUAGAGGCAAGGAUGUUUGACUUUCGUUGACCAUUCGAAGUCACAAUUAAUGUUUCCGAAUAGAUUUUGAAGCUACGAACGCAUAGGCAAAAGCCGUUUGCGAGUUCGGAUUAUAACAGUAUAGUUACGGACAUUUGAAGUCGUUUCAUUAAACAAUAGAUUUAAAGGAAUAUAAACUCCCACCUUGUGGGAAAGAGGCCAUUCAGGCUAAAGGGAAGGAACCAAUCAGUUAAAUGGUGGAGGACCAAUCAGAAUUUAGGGGGGAGUGAGCAACCAAUCAAAGAGAAGGAGGAAAAAAAAGAAAAGAAAUGAAGCUUUCCUUCUCGACGACUUGUGCACCUGCACAGGGCUCAACCAAUUCCGCCAACUUUCGCCAUUUUCCCCAUCAAACCGCCAUCAUCCAACACCUGCAAUCCUUUCCACAACCUCCCCUCUACCAUCUCCACCCAAAUUCGAAGGUUUUUAAGUCCAAAACCGUGUAGAACCUCACCGGAGCACCGGAGGUGCUUGACGGUGAUUCCUCCGAUCCAGUGAGUUUCACCACCCACCACUACCCUUAAUCAACUCCCCUUAGACCCAGGAAUAAGAUCCAACCAGUGAUAGGGGCGUUGGAACACCGGCAAAGUCGAAUCGAUGAACACCUAUUAUAGGGUUUCAGACGGGUUCGUGGCGAUUUGAGGUUUUUUCGGCCAAAUUGGACUUGGCCACAUAUAUAAAACUUGCUCUACUCAUUGAGAUCUUCAUUUAAUUGAAAUUUGAGAAUUUUUAGAAAUAGUUUAUUUUUCCGGCGAGUUGGGACGGUCGACUGUCGUUUGCAGCGGCAUGUGGGCCGAGGCACCCCCUAACCUUCCUAAGCUAAGUUUGAUACCCCAAUUCCAUAUGUGAAGUCAGAUUGAUGAAAUCUCAUCGUUUGAACAUAGUUUUGAUAGAGACCGCUACUUGAUCCUUGUAUGAAUUGACGAACCGACCGUUGGAUCAUCACCAAAAUUUAAUAUAUUAUAGUAUGUAAUAUUUUAGGAUAUUAGAAACUUACGGAUUGGGAAUCCAACUUAUGGAUCUUCCUAAAAUGGAUUUGUAAGUUCGUAAAAUAAAACGUUGACCGCCACUUGAAUUUGCAAUUGGUGGAGAUCCAACCAUUGGAUCGUAAUGAAACUUUAGUAUGAUGUUCUAGAAGCAUAAUGUGGAUCUUUUGAAGUUACGGAUCAAAAAUCUAAGUUGCGGAUCUUCCGGAUUGAGUUACGUAGGAUUAUGGACCCUACCGCCAACCUUUGACCGAUGAUUGAAUUUUGGUCAAUGGGUUUCAAAUCAUUCUAGAACGUCCUUAGGGGAUGUGUUUUAUGUAAGUUACGUGUUCUAUCGAUAAGAAUUCUAAGACGUUAUUUGAUAUUUAUUCUAGGCGACGAUUGUUCGUGAUGCCUCGAUAUUCGUGCUAGGGAGUUGUAGCCCGGACCUCAGGUGAGUGGGUCUUUUUCUUUUUAUAGUGUAUAGAUAGAUAUAUAUAUAUAUACACACACACACACACACACAUAUAUAUAUAUAUGGUUGAUAGUUUCCACAAAUGAUUUUGAAUUGAUUUAUGCAUAUCAUGCUAUGAUUAAAUAUUGUUAUUAAAAACUUUGCAUUGUUAUGAAAUUGUGAAAUGCCAAACGAUCCUACGGGAUGCGCAGGUUUGAUCAGGUGAGUUUAAUUUGUGAUUGGAAUUGUUGCACCAUAUUGGCAUGCAUAAAUUCAUUUAGUGCUCAUCAUUGUUGCACCCCAGUGUUAGUCAUCCUGUCCUGGGCCAGGGCACAGCCUUCACGUGUAUGUUCACCUCCCGCAUCGCACACUUACCUUGGAUCCAAGUAGGUGCUAGCCUAUCGUAUAGACUCGAUUAGGCAGUUUGAUGCGAAAAUUAACUUAACACACAAAUUAAACCCUCUUGUUGUCAAAUUGUAGUAAUAAUGCAAGUAUGGAUCGUUCUAAACCGAGGAUUAUGAGGGCUUGCUAAAACCUCUAAACUAACUCAAAAACAUAAAAACAAAGUUAAAAACAUUUGAAUAGACUUAAAGAACUCAAAACAGGUUCACAAGACUCAAAAUAAUUUAAAGACACUCGAAACUGCCUAAAAACACAAACUAGGCAGUUUCUGACUCUAACACAACUUUGGACGAAAUUUGGGUUUUGACUUGACUCAGAACACUCUAAAACACAAACAAAACAUAUUUUAAACACUUUGAAACAAGAAAGUAAAAGGGGGAUUUAGUUUUGAUGAAUUUGAAACAAAUAAACAAGUUAUAAAACUAGGCAGAUUGUAAAACGAAUUUAAGAAAUAAGAUAAUGGAUGGAUUAGUUAGAGGUCCGUUCUUCACACAUGACACACUUGUAUAUGAAUUGAUUUCCAAUUGCUUUUCAAUAAACUAUGAUGCUCAACACCCCAGAUUAAUUAGAUACGCUUAAAUUAAUCCUCAGAUUUUCCUAAUUUCAUUGAAUUGGAUGAUUGCAUACAACAACCCAAAGCAUUCCCCACAAGUUCCCUACAUGAAUUGCAUAAUAGAGAUACAAGCAAGAAUCAUUAAGUUCUAUGAAAAUCAUAAGCAUUGACGAAACACUUGUAACUAUGAAUUGCAUGAAACUUAUGCCAAGAAUUCAAUUAACGCGAUUGUGAUAAACAACCUUCACUACUCAUGAAUAUAAACUUGUAACGAUUAGGUGAAACUCAUUUAUAUUCUAGCAUCUAAUUCAUGCAUGAAAACUAAGUAUGCAUGAAAACUAAGUAUGCAUCCUUAAAUAACAUACAAGAAUCAGUUAUGAAUAAAAUAGAUAAUUGAAUUGCAAUCACAACUUAUCAAAUCACAAUUGGAAGAAAUCAAUUUAAAUCUCAAGCAUGUUCAUGGCUUCAAACUUCCCCCUAACUAAAUAGUGGUUUAGCCACUCAUAAUUGCAACAAAAUUAGAAAAUAACAAAGUAGACAUUGAAAGCAAGAACGAAGUACACCUAAAACGCUCCAAAGUUCCAAGCUUGAAACGCCAAGGGCCUUUGUUUUCACCACCUUGUUGUAGCAUAAGUGUCUAGGAUGUGUAUGGAUAUAUGGAUAGAAUGGAUUUGCAUGACAUAGAAAAUGGAAAUGUAUGGAGAUGUGUUUGAAUGUAUGGAUGAAAUGGAAUGGAGCUCAAGGCAAGGGACUUGUGUUUGUGAAUGAAGCUCUUUUGAUGGAUCAAGAUUGUCGUUCUUUGGAAGGGGGGUGGUGGAUGUAUUUAUAGGCUAGGGAGAGGACCACUCCAUUUCCUUUGCAUGUGCAGAUUGCAUGGGUGUGUGCUGUCCAUGUUUCUCCUUUCCUUUUCCACCCAUUUUCUGAACCUUUCAGUGUUACAAUGCCCAUAACCUCUUCUAGAAAAAUGAUAUUAACAAUCCGUAAAUUGUUCUAGAAAAUAGACAUCCGUAGCUUUCCAGGCAUAUAAGGCUCAUUCUCUCAUUCAUUAUACGAUGUUCGUAACAUGCUUUCAAAGUCAGCUAAUCUGCACAGGCAGUUUUGACGAAUUUGUUGGCUGUCCAUGUUUCUCCUUUCCUUUGCAUGUGGUUGUGUCUUCUCUUUCUAGCUGUGCAUUUCCACUUGAUCCAAAGCCAAAUGAGUGCAAUCAUAACCCCAUUUGCUGCUGAGUGUUGAUGACAAAGCAAAACACAAAACAAGUGCCUUUACUUUCUCAUUUUAUUAGCCAAAUCCGCUUAGCCCUUUUCUAAACCUUUAAGUGUUACAAUGCCCAUAACUUCUUCUAGAAAAAUGAUAUUAACAAUCCGUAAAUUUCUCCAGAAAAUAGACAUCCGUAGCUUUCCAGCCAUAUAAGGAUCAUUUUCUCAUUCAUUAUGAGAUGUUCGUAACAUGCUUCCAAAGUCAGCUAAUCUGCACAGGCAGUUUUGACGAAUUUGUUGGUUGUCCAUGUUUCUUCUUUCCUUUUGCACACACAUGCUUCAUCAUUUCAGCCAAAUCAACACAUGUUCUCCAUCACAUGGCAGCUAUGAUGUUUGUUAGUUGUAGGUCACACACUUGCACACACAUAUGUUGAAUUCUAAUCUUCCCAAAACGUCCAUCCUCAUGUCUCCAAGUGCAUGCAAUCCAUUUCAGCCCAAAAUUGCUCCAAAAUGCACCAAAAUGCACUUUUCUUGCCAACUUUGUUAUUAGGACCUAACAACAUACGAAAAUGGCUUAAAACACUCUUAUAAGCAAUAACUAACUAAGUAAGUGCAAGAAAACAUGUUAACUAAGUCGCAUAAAUAUGCUCCUAUCACAGUUCCGACUCAUAGAUGACCCACGAUUUAUCGCUAGCCAUCACGUGAUCAUAGGACUAAAGCGUAUAUAUUUACACCCAGCUUGUCGUACAGGUCACACUAGGUGACUCCGACUCGUGUGCUAGCAUAGACUGAUGAGCAAUAGGUCCAUUCAUACAUGUCACAUUAGGUGACUCCAACUGGCACGCUAGUUGAUUAUUCACACCUGACUUACAUUUAUUUUUAUUGAGAUAUUGUGACAUGGCAUGCUUUUGUUGUCACUGCUUUUAUGCAUUGGUUCUUUAUGUUUACGUAGUGUUAUUUUCUGGAAACUAUACAUGUUUUACGGCAAGGGGUUAUAAUGUUUUCAUUGAAACUUUAUUUUUAGGCCCACUCAUCCUUGUUUUUCAUCCCUCCAGGUUUUAGCAGCAGAACUUUGUAUCGACGAGGAUUCUUGGCAAUUCUCAAUAUAGGUGGCUACCUUUGAGGGUAUAAUCAUUAUCCUAUCUUACUGUAUUUCACUUAUGCUCUGACAUCACGUGUGAAAUGGGUUCAUUCUCGCUCAUCGCGCACUCUUGUAUUUAGGCACUUUUAGGUUUAAAUUUAUUCACAUUUUCCAUCACACUACACUUUAUAACUUCGUCACCUUCCAGGUGUCGGCCAGCACAACAUGAUUUGGAGUCCAAGUAGACAUUCCGGAUCGAGGUGUGUCAUUAUCCUUGUUGAUCUAGUGGAGUUACACAAUGACAAUUACUUUCCAAAAGGGCAAUUGCCUUACUCCAACGAGUGUAACUGCUCUAAAGUAUCUCAUUUAGCAUAAAGAAUUAUGAGUAAAUGGGCUUAAACUUUGGUGCUCUCAAGUAGUCCAAAGUCUCAAUUAAAGAGCUUUUCAUAGGGUUUAUAGAGAUUGGCAACCUUCCACAAAUCAACUCCUCUUAAAUCGUAUGUAUUGGUUCCAUAUGAACUUGGUUGGUGUAAGGUUUAAACAAACGUUUUCGAAUGAUUCAUGUCUAUGUAGCCAUUUGCAAUUCACCUCAAUCAUUUAAUCAUUUCAAAUUCCUCUAUUUAAUAUUGCACAAUGCAUUUCUAACUAAAGUAGCCUAAAUUCAUUGGUAUUUGAUAACCUUCAUUCAAAUACAAUAAUAAAUCUAGUAUUGUCUCUAGCAUUGGUUUUAGCCUUCGGGUCUUUCACGUGAGAAGCAGUUAUAUGAGACGGGUUCAUCAUUACAUGAUUUUUUUUUAUCUAAUAAUGUGUUGUUAUGUAAAAGUUUUUCUUUACAUGGCAACAUAUUAUUAUAUUGAGACAUCAUGUCAUGUAACAGUAAACUCAUUUCAUAUAAAUUGCUCAUUUUUUUUACUCCAUUAUCCUUUUUCGCUUGGGCACCAUAAAGAAGUCAUCCAAUGAUCGAUGAUCAUAAAAAUUAAUAAAAAGAUAAUCUUUAGAAUUAAAGUGGAAUUUGAAAUGGAAUCAAAUUUGAAUUGAGAUCCAAACCUUCGUAUUAAACUAGAACAAGUUCACUAAAUAAAGGUGAGGCCAACCACCAACCAAUAUUUAUACAAAAAUAAUCGCAUUCCACUCCGACCCUACCGAAUUCUUCAGGCCAUUAACCACCAUUGAAUAAACAGUACAGAAAAUCAUAAAGUAAUUAUGCUCUUAAACCGAAAAGAAAUCGAGAGUAAUUAAUAAUUAGUGCCAAGAUAUCAUUAAUAUUAUUUUUAAGGAUUCGGACGCGUAUAGUGAUAUAUUCUAUCAUUACGUCUCUCAGAUUCCGCAUCGAUUGGUGCGAGAUAUUCUAUCGUCAAUGUUUCUCGGACACUUUCUUGUUAAACCCAUUUACUACAACUAGGGAUUAAAUUUUUUGCCAAAUUACCAACCAUAUUAUACUAAAGUUCUGUAAAAAAAUUUGUAUCAUUGGUAAUGAUACGAUAUUUGUAUCGUACCAUACAUUUUUGGAAGAUAAUAGUAUUCAAAAUCAUUACCAAUUAUAUACCAUACUGUAACACUACUAUUAAUAUUAUAUAAUUUAUUUAUUCAUUUAUAUAUAUUUACGUAUUAUUAUAAUUAUAUAUGCACUUUAUAUUUUUUUUCCUAGUCAUUUAUCCAAUCAUCUCACAUUCUAACCUCUACUUUCCCAAUAAAAAAACAUAAGCCUUCUUACGCUGCGACUCUUCAUCUUUUCACUCAUCUAGCCACCGACUUCAUCUAUGUUGCUCUAGUUUCGGCGACUGUCUCUCCGGAGUCCACCUCAUCUUCUCCUUUAUCAAAUUGGGAUGUCUUUCUCCCUGGCUUUGUCUAUCAAGUUAAUUUUUGUUUAAUUUUAAAGAAUGUAAAGAUGAAAUUUAAGAAUCUUUGUACUAUUUUUUUAGGGAUAUUGGGUUCUUUGAGCAAUUCUUCCAUCUGUUUACUUCUUUGUUUCUUUAAUGAAUCUUUAUAAAAUUCUCAUAAUUAAAUAAAAAAGUUUUAGAAACCCAAAAGGAGUGACCCAAACACGUUUGGGCCUUGAAUUGGGUUGGAAAAAAAAUCAAAUUUUGGCCCAAAAGAAUGACCCAAAACAAAGUGGUAAUUACCAUUACCAUAUCAUGUCAACCGAACUAUUUGGCAUGCCGAAAUUUGGUAUAUCGAAAGUUUGGCACAGUAAUGAUAAUAGAUUUUAUCAUACCAAAAGUUUGGUACGGUAAUUGAUACAUGGGUUUUGGUACGAUAAUUGUACCAAUACCACCCCUAACUACAACUAUCCAAUCAAAGACUAAUCCCGUUUCAUGAGAGAAUUAUGACUAAUAUCAAUUUCACGAGAAAUUUUUCAAGGUGACAGGAACCCACAUAACCAUGGACACUUUAUGUAUCCAUUUAAUCGGAGGAUGUCACAUGCCUAACCGAAGAAUCUACCUAAUUUAUUUUUAAUGAAAUUACGCUGUCUGUUCUAUUAAUAAAUCCACAAGGUUUAUCUUUUAAAAUGUUAAUUAAAUUAGAACUAAAACAGAAAAAUAAAAAUAAAAAUCUCCAAUCCAAAUAACCCCGUCCCCGGCGAGACACACCACCCCCGAUCCCACCACCACCACCUCUGAUCCCGUUCAAAUCUGGUACCGCCACCACCUCCCUCUCUUGCUCUUCCUCAUAGACGAACAAUAACAGGCACAGUGGCAGACGUCGACGCUAUUCUACCCCUCCCCGAACCCAUGCGGACCAUCUUCCUCAUUGUCAUCUUCAUCAGCAUGAUUUUCAAGUUUUUCUUUGACGUGCUAUCUUUGCUUCUUGUUGGGUUUUUUUGUAAGAUGUAAUCUGAAAAUCAACAAGUUACUAGGAUUACAGAUAUAACAAAUAUAACUACAAUAAAUCAAUCAAACAAUUAAAGGGAAAUAAACUUAUCUUCCAAAGCAGAGGAAGAAGACGCUAUGACUGCUAGGGUUUCAUAGGUUGUCUUCUACUUCCAGUACUUCAAAAUGUCUCUCUACCGUGAAUAGGGUUUGGCAUGAUUGAGAGUACAAGCAUAUGGAAGCAGGAACUUAACUGUGGUAUUUAUAUCAUUAGGGUUUUCAUCACAUCCGACCUAUCAUUGGCUAUGAAGAUCUACCCUAUCUCUCUAGUAUUUAAGUCCCACCAUGAUACGAUACCUUUGUAAUAAAUCUAUCAGAUUUCCUCUAGGUUAAUUGCAAGGGACAAGACUCCAUAAUCCUUAUUAGGUUAGGACUAUCGGAUCACUUUGGUUGCUAACCACUCGAUAGACAAUUGGCUUACAACAAAAAGAUCCAAUACAACAUUCAUUGUCAUUCACAAUCUUAUAUUCUCCCACUUGAAUGUCAAUAAUUCAUCCUAACAAAAUAAGAACUCAUUGUGAUCACUGAGUCUUCAUAAGUAUGCAAUAACCUUUCCUAGCAACCUGUCACUUUGAAUCGAAUGCCGAACCAAAGAAAAACAAAGAACAACUUGGUCUGUUCCUUGCACUCCAAGAUCACAUACACAUUCAACUUAAAGCACUUUGUUGCUAACAAAGUCAUGGUGUCAAGAGCUAAUAGUCAAAACAUUAGCUCACAAUAGUCAAACUGAAAAUAUGAAAAUAUAUUUCAGUACAAAAGUAGUUCACAAAAGAACUCAACAACGUUGGUAACAACAUCCAACUUCUCUGUCAAUUUAGAAUAUGAUAAGAGAACAAGUAAAAUAUGACAUACUAUUUACAAAAUCAGAACCUCUUAUUAAAACUUAUGAACAAAACUUAAACAAAAUUUACUCUUAAAAUAUCAGCCACUAACACUUCAAAAUUUUAACACAAAAGGUAAUCUCUUACUCCCACUGAUUAGUAGAGAUAAACAAAUUAUUACUCCCACUGAUUAAGAGAGUAAAAAAAACUUUAUAAAUGCCUAUAAAAUGAAACUGACACCUUUCAAAUACUCCCAUUAGCAAAACAUUAGUCAUGGGAUCUAAAACAUAAAAUUUGUGAGCUCAACAUCUUUAUUUUAGAUAUUUGUAGGGAAGUGAUUCUCGUGACUGAAAAACUAUACAAAAUUAUUUGGUCAGUUUUGUUCAUCUAACAAUUGACAGAAAUAGAAAACUUUAACUGAAUGUUUUCUAAUGCAUCAAAAGCAUAUAAUUCUAGAAUCAUCUUUGGAUAGAAACUAAUUAUAUUAGGUUUGUAUAGCUAAAACAUAAAAUACAAGGGCAAAUGUAUAUAGCUUCAACACUUUUGAGCAGAUGAAGUAUAUGCAAUCUUGUCAAUUUCAUGUUUCACCAUACAUUGAUUUAUAGUUGUACUGAAAAAGAAAACACUUUUGAGCAGAUUAAUUAUUCAUCAAUAACAUAUAAAUCACAAGUCCAAUUUCUUGAACAACAUACAAGAAUUAAUAAGCAAAACACUUUUGAGCAGAAUAUACUCAUUAACCCUUCUUGAAUUUCCUACAAGAUUAGUUGCAUAUAUAACAAAUAAAAUAUAAAUAAGUAUGAUAAUGUACGUUUUAUCUACCAAAACUAUGACCAUUAAAAGCAUGCAAAAUUGAUGAGUGUGAAGCCCAUAAUACAUUAUUUCUCCCACUUGGGCAAACACUCAAAAUUGCAAGAUUAAACACUAGAGAAAGUGAUUUUCAUUUAACAAAAUAUAUGCAAGUUGAAUCAAUCAAGAUCAAAUACAUAAUUUUUUUUUUUAAAGUAGGUUAGAAUUAAAAAGUUCCAUAAAUAAAAACUUAUGCAAUGACUACAAAUUUUAUUUUAUUUUAGUGUAUGAGAGAAGACUCACAUAUGUGUUAAAGAUUAGGUCAUCAAUUAAAAUGAAACCUAAUAAGAGAAUCUGUUGAUGCACAAAUAUCAGCGAGGACUUUGGUACAACAGAAAGUGUCAGGUUGUGACCUUCGCUUGGUUGCUUCGAUCACUUUUGAAGAUAAGUACGUAAAUGAAUAGGGACAGGGAAGCAAACACAAGAUGUACGUGGUUCACCCAGAUCGGCUACGUCCACGGAGUAGAGGAGUUCUCAUCUACGAUGCAUGGACACGGGGAAAACUCAACGUAUCCCGUAUCUGACACGCAGGGAUACGGAUACGUACAAAAUACGUAUGGAUACGCGCCCGAUACGUAUCGGAACGAAGGUAUACGUUCUUUAUUACCAAGAUACGCGUAUCAUAUUGUCGAGAUACGCGUAUCAUAUUUUUCGGAUACGUUUCAAGCAAAAUCAGAGGAUAAUCAGAAAAAAAAUCCAAUAGAUCCGCACAGAAUCGUGAUUGAUUCGAAUUAGAUAACUUAAACGAUUGUUUAACUAAAAACCAAAACGAUUUCGAACCUCAGAAAUCAGACUCAUCUGCAAUUGCUCCGUCCGUCCGUCGUCUCUAUCGUCUCCGUCUGCAACUGCUCCAUCGUCUCCAUCGUCUCCGUCUGCAACUCCUGGUGAGAGCCUUCGACUUUGUUUUCACUUUGUUAAUUUUGAAGCUCAAUCUGAUUGCAGAACCCCUCUGAAAUUGAAAGAAACAUGCUGCUCUGUUUUUAUUCGAAGCUAAAAGCCCCAUUUCUGCUUUAAGCCAUUGACUAAUUCAAUGUAUCUGUUAUGCAAAAUUGAAAAAGCCAAAACCCAAUUUUGCUUUCUGUAUAAUAUAUUAUUUUGAUCUUCGAAGAUCAAUCAAUGGGGUCAGAUGGUGUGCAAUCAGUAAUCACUUAUCUGUUAUACAAAAUAAUAUUAUAUACAAAAUACUCGUGCCCACUUUUGCUUUCUGUAUAUAAUAUUAUUUUGUAUUUUGUAUAUUAUAAAUAAUAUACUAUUGUGCUUUCAUGAUAUUUAGAUUAUAAUAUUUUAUGGAUUUCAUGAUGUAUUUUUUAAUCUCUUAAGUUAAUAUAAAUUUCUCGUGUAAUAGUCUCUGUCUAUACAGUGGAUUGACUCUUAUUGUUUAUAUAUUUGAUUCUUACAAUUUACAUGUUGAUAAUUUAGGAAAAUGAAUCAUCCUGAUAAUCAUGCGAAUGCUAAUGUCAACCUAGUUGAGAAUGUUGAAAAUGAUCAUGGUACACUAUGGAAGUAUGUCAAAAAGCUCGAAAGAGUGGAAAAUGGAAGAGGAGGUAGUGUGUUUCAAUGCAACUAUUGUCAAAAGAUUUUCAGAGGAUCUUACUCUAGGGUCAAGUUUCAUUUGUUAAAAGUGUCUGGAAAUGGGAUCGUCUCUUGCAAUAAGGUUACUGAUGAAGCUCUUGCAGAAAUGAAAAAGCUAGCUCAAGAAUGAGGGACUCUUUCUUUUUAUUUUUUAAGUCGUUUGGAUGUUCUUUUUAGUUUUUCAAGUUUGAAGACUAAUUUGUUUAGUGGAUUAUCUUUUAAAUGUUUGAAGUUUAUCGAAAUAAAUUUGAACUUGAAUAGUAUAUUUGAAUGCUUAUUUUAUAAUAUUUAGAUAUAUUUAUUUAUUUAUAUUAUUUUUAAUUGCCGUAUCCUUGCCGUAUCGUGUCUUCAUUUUUAGAAAUUUGACGUAUCCCCGUGUCGUGUCGUAUCGUAUCUCCGUAUCCGUGUCCGUGUCCAUGCAUCAUAGGUUCUCAUUAAUUGUGAAGGGUUUACACAAAUACAUAGGUUCAAGCUCUCAUUUUGUGAGUUCUAGUGAAUAGUUUAGUACAAAAUGACAUUAGAGAUUAUUGUGGGAGAAUGAUCCCUAUUUAUAGAAGAGAGUUUCUAGUUUUGUUCUAACAUUGACACGUGUUGUGUUGUGAUUGGCUUCUGAUGUUGACACAUGUCGAGCUGUGAUUGGCUUCUGAUGUCGACACGUGUCGCAUUGUGAUUGGCCUCCUGGUUGAAGGGAAGCUCUUCUGGUCCUUGACGGUAUAACGUUGACCGGUGCUCAGUAGUUUCGGGAUUGGUCAAGUAUGGUACAAACAAAAUCCAAACUCAAAAUUUAUGUUUUAAUUCUAAAACAAAGUCGAGUAAAAUAAACACUUAGAUAUCUCAACAACAACAAUUUUUUUUUUUUAAUAAUUUUAAUCCAAUUUAGAACUCACAGAAAAUUAAGGCAAAAGAUUGGCAAAUUUACCUACUCAUUCUUGAUUCUGCGAGAUUCAUCAUGGAAUUAGUCGAGUUGUGGAGGAUCGAACCAACUCCAAAUUGCAUGAUUGUUACACCUUCGGGCAGAAACUAAUCAUGCAAAGAAAAUACCUGCAUAGCUAGCCAAAACAUAAAAUACACAAAAUACAUAUAGCUUCAACAGCUUUGGCCAGAUGAAAAUAUGUUAGAAGUACUUUAUGAUAUAAUACUAUUUUAUAAUUGGUGAGUGAUUUCCUGAAAUUCCCAUUGGGACAAAAGUAUUCACCAUAUAAAUUAGAAUUCUGAUUUUUCAAAAUAAUCCUUUAGAACAGUAUUAAAUAACCGUUUUGUUGGAUAUUCAAUGAUUCUCAAAAGAUUCAAUCAGACACAAAAGUAUGUCAUUAUUGACAUUGAACAAUAGAGUUCUCGAAAGAGGAAACAUGGUUAUUCAGGUAUUCGAUAGAGACCAAAAUGAUCAAUUAGUAAACUAAUGCCACUUUCCAAUUUUCUCUCAAAAGACAAUCAUCAUAAUCAGAAUUGAUGACCAAACAAAACAUUGGUUUAAGCAAAACAAACCAAUACAUCUUUAAAUCAAAAUUUAAUCAGUGUUGUCUAUAUAAAAUUCAUUAGUAUUGAGAAUUUGCAUAUAAUAAGGACAUAUCGGAACCAUAACCUUGUAUAAUAAUCGGUACCAAUAGAUGUGCACAAAUUAGUGAAACAAUAUCACAUAACAAAACUAGUUUUGAAGUACCAAAAUUCAGCAGUACUACUUUAGUUUGCAAAUUCACUAAAAACUCAAUUCUCUUUAGAUUGUCCUGAAAAUUUUCAAGUAUGAACUAGACAUAUAUGACUACUAUUUCGAAAAAUUUCAUGAUUUUUAAAAUCUUAUAAGUGAGCCAAAAAUGAAUUCGAAAAGAGAGGUGCUACAGCAUUAAUAUGUGUAUUUGAUAUAUCAAAAUCUCCUUUUUAAGAUAAGAAAACAAUUUAAAAAUGACACCAAAAUGGCCACGGCAUUAAUAUGUGUAUUUGAGAAAUUUCCCAAAAGCACUUGAGUCUCAACUUUGCAAUUUUAUGUUUGAAGAUAAAAGUCACAAAGGACAAACGUAGCAAACAUAAAUUGUAAUAUUAUAUAUAUUAUAUUAAACGAAGGAUAAAUUAGACUUAUUAAUCCAACAACUCAUAUUUGAUUUUAGAAAAGAAAGUCUCAACAUUAAUUGGUCCCAACCAUCAGUCAUAGAAGCAUAAGAGAAAAUCAAAAGUUACCAAAUUCUUAUUCCUGAAGAGGGAUGCUUCCAGGCAUAACGAUAGAUGGAAGCGUAAAUCAACUUAAUUAAUAUGUAUGGGAAAGUUAGUUUGCAAAGCAGUUGGACUUUAUAUUCAAAUUAGUUUAACUAAUCAACUAACACACCAAAGUGGCCAUACCAUUAUUCUUGUAAACCAUUACUCAAAAAUAUGCAGCAAACUGGAAUAAAUGAAAUUAAAUGCAAUUGAGGAAAAUCCUCAAAGCCUCAUUCUAGGCAUUAGGAAUGAAGGCCGAGAAAACAUAAAAUGUGAACAUGAUAUAAGAUCACAAUGGCUCACUCAAGUUAUCUCCUAAUGGCAAGUGAUUCACAUUGAAAAAUCUUCGAAAACAACCAAAAUUUUAAACCUGAUCAUUGACACGGUGCGCUAGGAGAAAGAAGCAUGCAAAAUAAUUAUUAACUUAAAAUGGGAUUCCAAAACAAGGAACCCUAACCACUGCCCAGGAGCAACACAAAUGCCAACCAAGCGGAUCAAAACCAAUCUUGAUAUUAAUCAUGUUAAAAAAAAAUAACAAUAGUUAAAUUAUUUAUAUGCAUAUGUGCCAAGCCUUCGAACUUUAAAUCCAAUGCAAAAUUAUAUAUAUAUAUAUAUAUAUUUGAGGUAUAGCCAUAUAUAAAGCAAUCAAAUUUGCUUCUUAAUUAAUCAUUAUCUCGACAUGGCUAAGAAAACUUAUCGUUAAGUUUUCCCAUGAAAGCCAAAACAAAACCUUUUUUUGAUAAUUACAUGAGAAUCAUGAAGUUAGAAAAGUAAUUAUAAAAAUACUCUAAAAUUAAGCGGAAGCCUCAGGAUCGAUAAGUAAAAGACCUUUAACUAAAACACAAACUAAUUGUGCCUUCAGUUUGUCAAAAAUUUGUUCAAACAGAUUACCUUUAAUCCGAACCCUCAAGCUUUGCAAAUUUCUUGGCAGAUUUGUAUCUACAGACAAAAUAAUACAACUACACGCAGAAGUAAUUUCUGCAAAUGGGUCAAAUUAAAAAUAAUAAUAAUAACAUCUAAAUAAUUAUUUGCAAAGCCAAUAUGAUAAUCAAUCCACAUAUUGAAUUAUCAGCAAUUAAAUCAAUGAAUCGUAUUAUUUGCAGAAGCUUUACACAUUGUAAAGGAUAAAAGUGAUGGCAUGAUACGUUACCAUUAUAUUCAAAACCAACCAUGAUCGAAAUUCUGAAUCUUAGACGAGUUGAGUGGCUCUGAUACCACAUGUAAGAUGUAAUAUGAAAAUCAACAAGUUACUAAGAUUACAGAUAUAACAAAUAUACUACAAUAAACCAAUCAAACAAUUAAAGGGAAAUAAACUUAUCUUCCAAAGCAGAGGAAGAAGACGCCAUGACUGCUAGGGUUUCACAGGUUGUCUUCUACUUCCAAUACUUCAAAAUGUCUCUCUACUGUGAAUAGGGUUUGGCGUGAUUGAGAGUACAAGUGUAUGGAAGCAGGGACUUAACCAUGGUAUUUAUAUCAUUAGGGUUUUCAUCACAUCCGACCUAUCAUUGGCUGUACCAAUCUACCCUAUCUCUCUAGUAUUUAAGUCCCACCAUGAUACGAUAUCUUUGUAAUAAAUCUAUCAGAUUUCCUCUAGGUUAAUUGCAAGGGAUAAGACUCCAUAAUCCUUAUUAGGUUAGGACUAUCGGAUCACUUUGGUUGCUAACCACUCGAUAGACUAUUGGCUUACAACAAAAAGAUCCAAUACAACAUUCAUUGUCAUUCACAGUCUUACAUUUUUCUGAUAGGGCAUGAACUUGCAAGGCAGACGAGCACAGGAGUCGACUCAUUGAGUUAAUGGCGGCACGAGUUAGAGAUUGUAGUGGGGAAGACGGAUGAAAUAGAAUUUGGGAGGAGCGGGGAAGACAGAUCGGCCGCCAGGGAGGGGCGCUGUCAUUGUGGGUUGUUGGCUCGACUGUCGAGAUUUCUAUUAUUUAGUUUUAUAUUUUAUUUAAUUGAUUUUCUUAAAAAUUAAAUCAGGUAGACUUUAGUGGGGCACGUGACAUCCUCCGAUUAGAUGGGUAAACAAAGUGUCUAUUGUCACAUACAAGUAUAUGGAUUAUGAUGAUCUCCCAUUCUCUUUCCAUUCCCUUCCAUCAUUCUUUUCAUAUUCUCUAUUUUGUCUUUCUCUUUCUAUAAAAAUAAUAAUAAUAAUAAUAUAAGAUGUUGAUGUGGCUUAACCGUGACCAUUCAAAUAAGAGGGGAGGGUAAAAAAAAGGGAGUAUUUUUGCUCAUCACCAUUUAGUGUGGUAUAUGCUCACCACUUUAUUUAUCACUAUUAGAUGAGUUUGAAUUUCGAAUUGGUGUAGUAGAUAGGUAUAAAUCUCGAAAUUCAAACUUAUCUAAUGGUGAUAAAUAAAGUGGUGAGCAUAAACCACACUAAAUGAUGGUGAGAAAAAAUGCAUUCUAAAAAAAAGAGGGGAGAGAAUCCUUCUCCCAAGUAUAUACCACCAAUGGUGCAAAGGAGAAAGGACAAUGUGAGGAAAGCUAAAAUUUUAAAUUAAAUUUACAAAUUAAAUAAUGUGUAACAAAAAAAAAAAUUAAUGUGCUUGAAACACAAAGUUGUACACCAUGUGUCUCUAACAAGUGGUGAGAUUCUUGUGUUGAAAAAAUAAUAACAUAAAACAUAAAAUUUCCCACCACUUAUAUAAUAACACGUGUACCACUUGCAUUACGGGCAUAAGGAAAAAUUGCUAGUGUCACCAAUAGGUGCACGUUAAUCAAUACUUACAUAAUAAUUUAAUCAUCAACUACAUCGUUUGGUUUAAAAAUUUAGUAUCCUUAACAUUAUCCAAAGAGAAAUGCUAAGAGACUCAAAGGGUGAGAUUCUGCAAUUUCACGGUUUGAUGUUGAUUUGCAUGUCAAUGUAUAAAACAAUGUUGAUCCAAUCACACACAAGUAUAUACCACCAACGGUACAACUAAGGAGAAGUUUCGAACGAUCCCGCUACAUCAGGACCCUUUUAGAGCAUGUUUACGUACACGUAAUGGGAAUCAAAACAUGAAAUUAUAUUCCGAUUACGGACCAUUUCUAUGUUUACUAAAUUUUAAGGAAUCAAAAAUAUAGUGGGACCCACACAAAGUUUGGAAUUCAAUUCCUCACUUUGGAGGAAUUGGAUCCCUUGAUAGUAAGUGGUAUUUGAGUUUCGGAAGAAUGAGGGAAUGGGGAAUCCAUUUUUCAUACCCAUAAUGCCCUCACAUAAUUGCUGAAAUUCCAAUGAUAAAACAAGCACAGGUGCCCAGCGCUAGUCUGUUUCCUUCUCCCUCACUACCGCCCCCUUCCUGUCUUCCCAAGGCCACAUACCCACCAUCAUCUUCUUAGACAACAACGACAGCCAUAAAACAAGAAUAAGCGAAAGCUGAAGAAGAACCCAUUUUAGUUUUUUUUUAUUUUAAACAAUGCUAAAAACCAAACUCCGGACAUUCAAUCAACAUGAAAUACCCCGUAAACUAAACUUCAAAGAAAUUACAUCACCACAACCAACACUUCCCAUAGGCCUCAAACCAACCGUGAAUUUCAAAUUGUUGAAAGAUGAUUGAGGCAGAGAUAGAGAGAACGGUUGGGUUGGGGUUUGGGUUAGUUUUUUAUUUUUAAUUUUAUAUCAAUUGACUUGAUUUCCUGUAAGUUUUUAUAAAAUAUUUAUUUAUAAUAAAAGACAUUCUAGUAAUCAUACAAAUUUUCAUUCCGAUCAAGUGAAUUAGUAAACAACUUACAUUCAAACAAGACCAUUUAUACUCUGAUUCCAGAUUUAAUGGAAAUCUGGAUUUCAAUUCUCCUCAAUUCAAUUCAAUUCCCCCUCAAUCCAAUUCUGUCUAUUUUGAUUAAGGAUUAAUAAACGAACCCUUAAUGUUGAACAAAAGUCAGUACUUUACAUUAAGCUAGAACUAAAAAGGCUACUCCUAGUAGAAGUGACAGAAUUAUUGUUGAGUACGUAGCAAAAUUAUUAAGCAUUUGAGCUAGAACUGUUCGUACAUUUUUUAUCUGGCCUGGUCGAGCAGUGGUACAGCUACAGAGUACUAAUUUAUAUGCCUAACGUUAUAAAACUACAAUAAUAUUUCUCAAUUAUUUUAUAAUUUAAUUUGUUGACACUUCUCAACUGAAUUAUGAAAGCACCGCCGCGAGCCCAGGGACAAGAUACCUCGAGUCCUGACGCAUUCAGGUAUUGUCGCAUAGAUAAUCAUAAGUAAAGUUCCACCAGAGAGAACCAAAUUUGACGAGUUCAGCGGCUUAUACUUUUAUGGGUAUUUGUAGUAUGAUUUUCUUAGAUUUAUUAUUUACAUUAAACGUAUUCGUUUAAAUUUUUUAGAUUAGUGACCGAUUAAAUAUUCAAAUUUCAACUCAAAUCAGAGAUAUAUGAGAACGAACAACUUUUUCUCAAACACCAUUUUUUGUUCUUUGGGAACCAAAAUACAUGGAAAAGUAAAGAUAGGAGCAGCUUCAUCGAUCAAAAUUAUCGAGCACAAACACACACACCAAUACCAUCGAACUACCCGGAAACCAGAACCAGAACAGACCAUGACCCUAAAACACAACCAGAAAACGUUAACACUAACAUCUCAAAGUCCCAAACCACCUAUAACACUAAUCUAACUCCUCCAGCUGCCGCCUUCAGCGCCACCACCUCCUCUGGAGUAGCGAGCACCGCCACCUUCACCGCCUCCAUAGCCACC
RNAcentral lists this long non-coding RNA (49514 nucleotides) under Malus domestica (apple). RNAcentral's name for it is "long non-coding RNA (MDOM_LNC009157)". Lineage: Eukaryota; Viridiplantae; Streptophyta; Magnoliopsida; Rosales; Rosaceae. The record is from RNAcentral.